This 44539-nucleotide long non-coding RNA is filed under the name Ananas comosus (pineapple). RNAcentral's name for it is "long non-coding RNA (ACOM_LNC009402)". Lineage: Eukaryota; Viridiplantae; Streptophyta; Magnoliopsida; Poales; Bromeliaceae. The record is from RNAcentral.
AAUUAAGUAGUGAUGAACAGUUGGAAUUAAGGGCAUGUUUAAUUGGUUCAUGAUUGGAAUAGGAAUGAGAAACGAAAUUUGAUUGCUUUGGAGUAAGAAAUGGAAUAAUGAAUCAUCCAAAAAUAUUUGGUUUAUUAUUAGAAUGGAAAUCAGAAUGAAAAUUUAAAACUUUUGAGAGAAGGUUUUGAUUAAGAGAGAGAAAAGUGAUGAAGGGAGAGGAGGUAGGUGUUGAUGAAAGAGGAUUUUGAAUAGUUUACUUUGGAAUGAGCCAAUCUGGGAUUCAAAGUCGGAUUGGAUCAUAAAUAUACUUGGUCAUCCCGUUCCGGAGUGAAAUGAAAAUCGGAAUCCGAUUCCUAUAAAACAAACGGCAACUAUCGGAAUCAAUGAAUUUCAUUCCAAUUCUAUAGUCUAAAAUAGGUGAACCAAACAUGCUCUAAGUCUUUUCAUCAUGAUAUUGCACUUUUUACUGGAGCAGGAAUUGACAAUUAUAACCAAUAAUUUAAAUGAAUGCAUUCUUUAAAAUCAAGUUUUUACGUAUAAGUAUUUAUAAAAAUUAGGAAAAACUUCAAAAACCUCCUCUGUGGUUUCGUAGUUUCUCACUUUGCCCCCCCGUGGUUUAAAAUGUAUCAAUAUGCCCCCCUGUGGUUUCUUUUUUCUCUUUUUCAUAUUAAUUUUAUUAUUUUUUUUCCUUAAAUCAGUGAUAAAGUUAAAAUUAAAGGGUACUAAAGUGAAUAUUUGAUAAAUCUAGAUGGGUGUCUGAAGUUUUUUAUAUAUAAUUUAAUGAAAUAUUAACGAAAAAGCUAUCGAAAAGAUAAAAAUAAAACCACAGGGGAGCAAUUUGAUACAUUUAAACCACAUGGGGGCAAAGUGAGAAACUAUGAAAUCACAGGGGGGGUUUUUGAAGUUUUUCCUAAAAAUUAAUUUAAGCAUCAUUAUAUAUGCUCUGGAUUAGGAGUGUAAUGUUAGCUGUGCCGGGACGGACGGACCGGGUUCCAAAAGAGAAGGGCCCCAAGGUUUUGUGCCCCUUCUAGGACCAGGUCCUAAGAGGGUCCUAGAGAGGAAGAGAGCCGAAGUUCCCAAAUGACCCCUCUCUUCGGAAAGAAAAAAAAAAAAAAAAUUAUAUACAUAUGAUUGUUUAAAAAAUGUUAUCAGGCUAUGCCGACCUAGUAGCAAACCUUGUUGCAAGGCCCGGACCCAGAGGCUCGGCACGGUCCCUACAUGACGCGGGCCACACUACGUCGGAUUGCAGGCCGCAAGGUGCGGCCGUGCCGUGCUGGGCCACGAGCGACAAGGGGCGUUUAGUUCAGCCCCUAAAACUUAUUUGAACUAUAGACUAUUUUAAAUUCACUUCCCAACCCUUCAAAAUUUUAUUUAAUUUGAAUCAGCCAAUAAUAUUUUAAUUUUAAAAUAUACGUUAAUUAUUUAUUUUAAUAAAUUUAUAAUUACGAGAAUUGCAUGAAAUAUAUUAAUUAAAUCUGAAAAGAUAAAUAAUGGAUUAAAAAUUUAAAAUCAAAGUAACGUUUAGUGACUCAAAUCAAACAAAUUAAUUAAAAGGUUGAAUAGUAAAAUCAAAAUUUUAAAAGAUCGGAUAGCCGACUCAAAAUGGCCCAUAGCUCAGAUAAGUUCUGUAUAGUUUUUCCUAAAUUUUAUUUCCGAUUAAAGAAUUGAAAGGAGAGUACGUACGUAGACUUUGUUUUUAGAUUUUUCUCAACAACUUUUCACAUCCAAAACUUGAUUUAGCCGUUAUACUUUCUUUGAAAUCUUUGUUUCCACAUGUUUAAUUAAGGCGUGUUUGGUUGUAUAUACAGUCCGAAAAAUAGUUUUUUGUGAAACAAAGUUUCGUGGGAAUUUUUUUUUUUUAUGUUUCUUAGUGUUUCAUUUGUAGAGAAAAAAAAGUAUUUUUUUAUCGAUAGUGGUUUGGUUGAAAAAAAAUCUACAUUCUUUAGGUUUAUUGAAAAAAAUAAUAAAUAAAAAUUUUUUUACCCAGCUUAAGUUCUCAUUUAUCGUUCAAAAAUCGGUAGAAAUUGUAAACACUCUGGUUUUCUUAAAUUCAUAAAAAAAAUUUCAAAAUAUUUUUUUACUGACUAAAUGAAAACACGAAAUUUUUUGAGAAAAACCUAGGGUGCUUUUGGUUCGCGCUAUCUUUUAAAGAUUUCUAAUAAUCCAAUAAGAAUAAAAAAAUAUGACGGUGUUUCGCUAAACGCACUAGGUAAUCUAGUUUGUAAUAUUGGAUUUACUUGGGAAUAAGAUUCACUCCAAAGUACUAAUCUCAUUCCCUUGAGGGAGAGUGGGUAUCCUCGUAUUAAUGGAUUGGGAUAAUCAUAAUAUAUCUAAUCUUUUUCUUUUUUUCUACCCGCGCGCCGGCUAAUUGAUAUUUUUUUUUUUACACUCUAACCUUAUAUCCCUCUCUAAACUUAUUUUUCUUUUUAAAAUUCAACUUUUUUUCUCUCUCUCUCUUUCUAAAAUUUCAACUCUCUCACUCCCUCUAAUUUCGACUAUAUUUUUUUUUAUUUUUUUAAUUAUGCUCUCUUUCUCUAACUUAUACUCUCUCUUCCUUUUUUCUAAAAAGAUGUUGAAACUUUUGGUAACAUUAUCUAGAAUUAAAUAAAUAAAUAAAUAAAUUAAUUGUAUAUUUUUGUAAUAUUAAAUAAUAUAGCUAAUUAAUAUUACCGUACGAAUCAAAUACAGAAAUUCUAAAUACUUAGUAAUAAAAUAAAUAAGAAUAAAAUUCUCAAAUAUUUUUUAUUCAUAAUAAUUUUUUGUGAACCAAACGCACCAUUGCGGUCAACUUUGUUAGAUUUAAUGCAAUUAAUUAUGUUGUCCACUUGAAAUUAAUUAGCCUUGCCAUGUCCCAUGUCAUAGUUUCCUGCAAAUUAAUUAAUCAGAGCACACAAGUUUGACUGAUUCCAAAUGGUCCUCAUCGAUCACUCAGGUCAAGUCAGAGGUCCCGCUAGUACUAGUGUUCAUCAUAGAAUUAAUAUAUUAGUGGUGCUUUUAUUGCCCUUUUUUUGUUUUUAGUACACGUUUCAACUUUAUAGUUGUAGAUGAGACUAAUUCUAAGUGGUGGUGCAGGUAUUGUUUUGAGCUAGACUACUGUACUAUCUAUCGGUAGCACAGAGCGUUCUGUACUAGCAAAUUAUUUUUGAUGAUAUGGCUUCCAAAUCGACGAUCGACUCCGUUAGAGUUGAUCUACAUUAUUGAAAGUAUUUAGAAACUAAAUUUCAUAAUUUUUCGAUAUUAUUUACCUAUCAAACAAGUAGUCUAAAAGUGAACGGUUGAAAAUAAAAAUCUCAUAAAAAAUGAUGAUAAAAGAUUUAAAUUCAAGAUCAGGUAUACUGAUCUUACUCUAAAUAGUGAAAAGAAUUUUCUAUAAAAUUUUCAUUGCAUUUGGAUUGUUUUACACCGUUAAACUCACAAACACACCACAUCGGUUAUUAAAAUUGUCAAUUUCGAGAUCUUUUGAUCACUAGUCAAAUAAUGUACUUUCAAUAGUGUAGAUCAAGUCUAACGAAGUCGAUCGUCAAUUUAGAAGCCGCAUCAUUAAAAACAACUUGGUAGCACGGAGCGGAGCGCUCCGUGCUAUCGAUAGUAUAGUAGCCGAACUCUAUUGUUUUUCUCCCCAUCUUUUAUUCCACAAACUUUGCCUUUUCAUUAAUAAUUAAUAGGCCCUUGGCAUCUAAAAGUCAAGAGAGAUGGAGAAAUGCAUUAUAAGAGCAUCAAAUCUACAAGGGCAAAUAUGAGGAGGGAAACAAGAAGCAGCACUCAUGGUGGAAAGGCUCUUUUUUCUUCAACUGUUUUGCCUCCUCUUCCUCCUCACUUGUGUCGGCGUUGCAGAAGGCCGCAAGAAUCACGUCAGCUGCCCUUCGUCGUGCGGGCAUCUCCACGACAUCGGCUAUCCUUUCCGUUUGAAGAGUGAUCCGCCAGGAUGCGGAUCCCCAAGCUACGAGCUUCUCUGCGACGGCGGCAAACCUAUGCUGGAGCUGGGGUCGGCAAAGUACUACGUGACCAACAUCUCGUAUGCCAACCAGACUAUCAGUGUGGUUGAUCCUGUGUUUGUAGAUGACAAGUAUUGCCUUCUUCCUAUCCAAUCUCCACCUGCUAAUUUAUCGCAUUUGUAUUUCAACGUCGGAGAACACGGAGCUCUCUUUGCGAACUGCACGGGGCCAAUCGACGACGACAUGUACCGGAGCGUGCCUUGCUUGAGCAGUAACAACACAUUUGUCUAUGUAGUAGUUGAUACCUGGGAAUUCUUUGUGAAAUCUUUUGAGCCCUCAUGCGGAUUUCUGGCCUGGAUUCCUAUGCCCGCCGAUCAUGUCACGAACCCGACCGCCACCGAUGUCUUUGAGCUCUUAAAAGAAGGAUUCACACUUUCUUGGGAUGUAGGCCCUGGAUCAAAAUAUGCCAUAAUAUUAGCGGAUGUACCUGAAUGCUUGGAAAGAGCAAAAAGGUAAGAAACACUACCGUAUGUACGUAUAUAAAUUAGAGUUCACCAGUACUAUAUAUUCACUACCAAUCCUACAUGCAAUUUCAAAUUUAGUUAUGUGUAAAAGGAAAUUCCUUUGUUAGAAGACCUAUAGUUUUUCAAUACCUCAUGCUACUACAGGGCUAAACUCAUUUGCAACAUUUGCCAAAGAUUUAGUGUAAAGCUAUAAAAUUAUAUGAAAUAAUUACUGUUCUCCAAAGGAUAUUAAGUUAUAAUUAAGAGAAUGGUGUUCCUAAUACUUUGGCUUAAUUAAUUAUACUCCAUUAUACUUUACUUUGUAGGCUUUUUUCUUUUACUUUCUACAUUGUACUAAUUAUUUUUUCAAAUAUACAAUCAUUUUAUUAUAUUUUAUCAAUCUCUACAUUAUAUUUUAGAUCUAUUUUUUAUUUCUAUCCUGUACUAUUUUCUUUUCGAUCUCUUAAAUAUCUCUAAACUAUUUUUUUUCUUACCAAUCUUUACACUACCAUUUAAAAUGAUCAACAUUACCAGUAAUAAAUCUAUUAUUUUAGAUAAAACCUAGACUUCAUUAAGAUGCUUUGAUUAAAUAGAAGAAAAAUAUGGAAAAUGAAUCUCCAUGAUAAACUCAUUGAAAAUUUUUAUUAAAUCAUUUCUAACUAUUGGUUUGUGGUUUUAUAUAUGAAUUUGCUAUUUUUUGUGUUGAAAUGAUCUAAAUAAAUUAAUGCUCUACUGCUUUCAAUCAGUUUGUUUUAAUAGCUUUUAUUUAAAAUUAUAGAUUUAUUGCUUAUAGUGUAUGAUGUUUAAAAAGGAGGAUAUGUAGUUGACUAGUGUGUAUUUGGAAAAAAAAAGGAUAGUUAAGUGGUGUAUUUGAAAAAAAGAAGAAGUAUAGUAUAGAAAGUGAAAAAAAUCUAUAAAGUAUAGUAUAGUACAGUUAGGAAUGCAAACGGAUCCGGGUUGUUGGAGCUUCCGCCCUGAUCCACCCCGAUGGGAUAUUAAAUGGAAGAAAAUAAACGGAUUCGGGGUGGAAAACGGGGUAAAUUUUACGAUCUGAGACGGAUUCGGGCCAGGAAAUGGAAGAAGUUUAGACCCGCCCUGAAUCCGCCCCGAAUUCGCCCCGCCAUGAUCUGCCCCGAAUCCGCCCCGAAUCCGCCCCAAAAAUUAUUUUUAUUUUAAAAAAAUAUUCUUAAAAAGUAAUGUAUUUACAAAAAAGUUCAAAAUACAAAUAAAUUAGUACUCUCAUUUCUAAUGUAUUUGAAACUUUUGAAUUUUAUUUUGAAUUGUAAUUGUUAUUUUUUAUUUUUAUAAUUAAUAUUGUUAAAUUAUAUAUAUAAUAUUAUUAAAAAUUAUUAAUUUAUAUUUUAUAAAAUAUUAAUAAUAUUAUAAUUUUAUAAAAAAUAUUAGUUGGUGGAACGGAUUCGGGGCGCCCGCGGGAGGCGGGUUACGAGACGGGGCGGAUUAUGAAAUGUAUUUUUUAACCCGUCACGGAUUCGGAGCAGGAGAGGAGACGGGAUUUUGCUAGUCGGGGCGGGAGGCGNACAAUAGUUAUUUUGUUUUUCAAAAGCUUAAGUUUAAAAAAAACAAUAUUUUAAUAUUUUUUAUAUUCAACAUAAGUUUCAAGCUUCAAGCAAUAUUGGUUUCAACUACAACAUCUUGGCCUUUUCUUCUUCUUUUUUUUUUUAAAUUAUUUUUUAAAGAACAUUAUGUUUCUUCCUUUUAUCCAUCCCACAAUUUUUGCAUUUUUUUCUCCGAUUUCAUACGCUUUAAGUUUCAAAGUCAUCAUAUUCUUUGACUUGUCCUUUGGUUGACAACUUGUUUUAUGUACAGCAACAACUACUUAACCAGGCAUAGGUUUUUUUUCUUUUAUUAGAGUUCAAAAUUCUACAAGAAUGAAAAGAAAAAUACGAUUAAAUUAUCCUAAAAUAUACAUAAUUAGUUUUCAUUCUGCAUGAACCAGCAUACAUUAUAUAAUGUCAUAUUUUGCAGCAAGUUUGCGAAUUUGACCCACAGCGAAGGGCUUCUCAUCCUGCCAUACUCGUUGGUUAAAAGCGAGGUCAAUUUCUUAAACUGUAUGAACGAUCGUUUAAGCAGCAAUCACUAUUUUCGCUAUGCGGUGGCUGUGGUUGUCGUAAUAGAGAUUGCGCAGCUUUUACUAGGUAAACCGACCAGAUGAUUUAGCGACAAGUGACAAACUGAUUUUUUUUUUUUUUUUUUUUUUUUUUUUUUUUUUUUUUUUUUACCUCCUCUCUAAUCAACUAACUUAUGUGAUUUUUUUUUUCAGCAUUAUGGAUGUUAGGGAGGUUCGUUUUUGCACCAAUUUCGCUUCUCAUUUUACUGGCUUAUAAGUUAUGGAUCAGUCAUGUGUCUAUUGACAUUGUAGAAAAGUUUCUCCGAGACCAGCAAAUGCUCUCACCUACGAGAUAUUCCUACACUGAUAUCAUUGCGAUUACGGGCCACUUUAGAGAGAAGUUGGGACAAGGAGGAUUUGGGUCAGUCUUUAGAGGUACACUGUUAAGUGGGCAACAUGUUGCUAUCAAGAUGCUCGGAAAUUCUCAAUUUAACGGAGAAGAUUUUAUCAAUGAGGUCUCAACAAUUGGUAGGAUUCACCAUGUAAAUAUAGUGCGGCUUGCUGGUUUUUGCUCAGAAGGAUCAAAAAGGGCUCUUGUUUACGAGUACAUGCCUAAUGGAUCAUUAGACAAGUAUAUCUUCUCGGCAAAAGGAACUAGUAAUAGACCCUUUUCUUGGGAUAAGCUCAAUGAAAUAGCACUUGGGGUGGCUCGGGGUAUCGACUACUUGCACCGAGGAUGCGACAUGCAAAUUUUACAUUUCGACAUCAAACCGCAUAAUAUUCUUCUAGACCGCCAUUUCAACCCAAAAGUUUCAGAUUUCGGACUCGCAAAGUUGUACCCAAAGGAUUAUAGUCUAGUUUCUAUUAGUGCAGCAAGAGGAACCAUUGGAUAUAUUGCUCCGGAAUUGGUAUCAAGGAACUUUGGGAUUGUAUCUGACAAAUCUGACGUCUAUAGUUUUGGAAUGCUAUUAUUGGAGAUGGCGGGAGGCAGAAGGAAUGUGGAUCAGAUGAUGGAAAAUACAAGCCAAUUUUACUAUCCUUCUUGGAUCUACGACCGACUUACACAGAACAAUGAGAUAAUUGAAAUAAAUAACAAUAUUGAGAUUCAUGAAGUAGAAAGCAAGCUAUGUAAAGUGGGGUUAUGGUGCAUUCAGAUGAAAUCGUCAAAUCGCCCUUCUAUGAACAAAAUUGUAGAGAUGUUGGAAGGGGAUAUGGAUAACUUGCAAAUGCCGCCAAGGCCCUUCUUUUCAUCCUCACAGCAGAUCUCCGCAAGGCAAUCUUGUAUGCAAUCCACUUCAACAGAAUUAUCGACCAUUUCCGAGCAGGAAGACUAAUCAAAUUUGGACCAAUAAUAUAAAGGAUGUAAACUUUGUUAGUUCACUUACUCAAAGUGAUGAAAUUGAUAUUAAGAUUGUGAUUAGGGUUAAUUUUUCCUAACCUCAAAGAGAUUUAUUUAUAUCAAAGAGUUUUUACAGUAAAGUCCCUAACAUAAUGUAAAAUUACAAAAUUACAAAAGUAAUGUAAAAUUAUAAAAGAAUAGUCAACACUCCCCCACAAGAUGGUGCAUAGAUAUUUCUCAUGCCCAUCUUGUACACAAUGUUAUUGAAGACUGCUCUACCAACUCCUUUAGUGAGAAUAUCAGCUAAUUGAUCACUUGACUUCACAAAUGGAAUGCGUAAGCUACCCUUUUCCAAAUUCUGUUUGAUAAAAUUCCUAUCGAUCUUGAUGUACUUUGUUCUGUCAUGUUGUAUCGGAUUGUGAGCAAUAUUAAUAGCUGCUUUAUUGUCACAAUAUAGUAUUGAUGGUUUCUCAUCUGCCAUAUUAAGCUCUUGCAUAAACCUUCUAAGCCAUAGAAUUUCACUAACACCUUGAGCCAUAGCUCUAUAUUCAGCUUCUGCACUAGAUCUGGCCACUACAUCUUGUUUUUUGCUUCUCCAAGUAACCAAAUUUCCACCAACAAAGGUACAAUAUCCAGAGGUUGAUCUUCUAUCAUCUGGAGAUCCAGCCCAAUCAGCAUCAGUGAAGGAUUCAAUCUUCAAAUGGCCAUUUCUAGAAAAUAAAAGUUCUCUUCCUGGAGCUGACUUCAAGUAUCGUAGAAUACGAUAAACAUCCUCCAAAUGCGAUAUUCUUGGGUCAUGCAUAUAACGGCUAACCACACUAACUGCAUAAGAGAUGUCAGGUCGUGUGUGAGAUAAGUAUAUCAAUUUACCUAUUAACCUCUGGUAUCUUUCUUUGUCAACUUCUUUUCCGAUUUUACUUUGCAACCGAUAAUUCACUUCUAUUGGCGAAUCAACUGGUUUACACCCUAACAUUCCAAUCUCUUGAAGUAAAUUCAGCACAUAUUUUCUUUGAGAAAUAAAAAUUCCUUUCUCAGAUCUCGCCACCUCAAUUCCUAGAAAGUACCUCACACUUUCAGUAUUAGAUUUGUUUAAGUUUUAUUUUAAAAUCAGGAUUAUAGGUUCAUAACUUUCAACAGACUCAAGAAUCUGCUAUUAAUUAUCUCACACUUUCAGUAUUAAGAAACUCUUGAUUAAGAGACCGAAUAAAAAUGCUGAUAAUAAAAGAGACGAAAUAGACAAAAAAAAUUUUAUUAAUAUAAUUUGUCGUGUAUAUUGCUUAAACAGGGACAUAUCCCCACUAAACAUGAAUUAUAUAAAACUAGAAUACUCAGUUUAUAGAUUGACUUGGUCGUCGAUCGGGAUCGAGUUGAGGUUGAAUUUAAUUUUAAUUUGCACAGUUUAACGACUUGUCGGUAAAAAAAGUUUGAUUUGUUUGCUCAGUUUAACGAUUUGGCGGUCAAUUUGAAUUUGAAUUUAGUUUAGCAACUUGACAGUCAAAUGCUUAGUUUAACGACUUGACGGUCAGAUGUUCAGUUUAACGACUUGAUAGUUAUAAAGAGUUUAAUAUGAUUUGCUCAGUUUAACGACUAUAUAUAUAGGCUAGAGCUACUAUCCUAUUAAUAGGAUUGGAGUACUUGUCCUAUCAAAUUGUUUUUGAUUAUAGAGAUUCCGAAUCGAUGAUCGGAGCCGUUGAAGUUGAUCUAGAGUAUUUGAAAUAUCUAGAAACUAAAUUUUAUAAAUUUUAAAAAUUAUUUACAUGGUGAUCAAAGUGUCGUAAAAUCGACAAUUUUUGACGGCCUAUAUGAGCCGUUUGCUUGUUUAACGGUGUAGAGUAAUCCAAAUUGCUUGAAUUUUUGAUAGAAAAUUCUUUAUACUAUUUAGAUAAUGUUUGAUAACUCUGAUUAUGAAUUGAGAAAGUCUAACCUCUAUUUUAAGAAGGAUAUUCAUUUAUGACCAUUCAUUUUUGAACUUUUAAGAUGAACUUGAUAAUGAUUUUUAAAUAUUACAAAAUUUGGUUUCUAAACAUUUCUAAUUGUGUAGAUCAAUUUCAACGGUGCCGAUUAUCAAUUUGAAGUUCCGAUCAAUCAAAACAACUUGAUAGGACAAUGGCUCCAAUCCUAUUAAUAGAAUAGUAGCCGGACUAUAUAUAUAGUGCGUUUGGUAUGCUUCUGGAAACAUGGAGCGCUCUGUGUGCUUCCAAGUUAUUUUCGAUGUUCGGACUUUCGAAUCGAUGAUCGGCUCCGUUAGAGUUGAUCUAGAGUAUUUGAAGUAGCUAGAAAAUAAAUUUUGUGAUUUUUCGAUAUCAUUUGCCUAGUGAUCGAAGGGGCUCAAAAUCAAUAAUUUUAACGGCCGUGGUGAGCCGGUUGCAAGUUUAACGGUGUAGAAAUAUCCAAAUCACAUUAAAAUUUUGAUAGAAAAUUCUUUAUACCAUAUAAAACAAGAUCAAUAACUUUGAUCUAAAAUUUUAAUGUCAUAUCAUCAUAUUUUGUAAGAUUUUUAUUUUCAGCCGUUGAUUUUGAGCCAUUUCGAUCACUAGGCAAAUGAUAUCGAAAAAUCGCAAAGAAAUUUAGUUUGUUAGAUACUUCAAAUACUCUAGAUCAAGUCUAACGGAGCCGAUCGUCGAUUCGAAAGUCCGAACAUCGAAACAACUUGGAAGCACGGAGCGCUCCGUGCUUCCAGACAGACCGCACUAUAUAUAUAUAUAUAGAGUAGGGCUAGAAUACUUUUACAAGUAUCAACCCAAGUGAUACUGUGUGUUUUUAGCCCUUGGAUGGAGAGAUGUGAGGUGAAAUGAUGGGGGUAGGUGGUGGUAGGUGGUGGUAGGUGGAAUAAUGUUUGCGAUCCAAGGGCUAUUUGUAAUCAAAAAGUAGAUCCAAUGGCUAAAACACGUGAUAGCAACAUGAGGAGUGAUACUUAGUAAAGAGUAUUCCUAGAUAAAACUCUAUAUAUUAUAUAUAUAUAUAUAUAGUGUGUUAACUAUACUUUCGAAAGUACCGAGGACCUUUCGUGCUUGGUAAGUUUGUUUUCUAUGAAUAAAUGACAUCCGAUUCCCGAAUCGGCUCCGUUAGGUUAAUCUAUCUAGUUGGAACUAAUCUAGAACCAAAUUUUCAAUAUUUUUGAUCAUCAUUAGCUAAGGCGAUCAAUAAGGUCCCAAAAAUGUCUAUUUUAAUGCGAUGCGGUUACAUUUUUAAGUUCAACGGUAGUGAAAUAUCCAAAUUACAUAAAAUUUAAUAGAAAUUCUACUAACGUGCAAUAGCAAGAUCAAUACUUCUGAUUUGAAAUUUGAGUCAUUUAUCUACAUUGUUUUUUUAGUGAGAUUUUAUAUUUCAGGCGUUCAUUUUUGAGGCUACUUGUUCAGUAGGCAAACAAAGUCAAAAAAUUAAUGAAUUUGAUUCUGAGAUAGCUUCCAGAUAGCGUAUAAUCAUGUCUAACGAAAGCCGAUCCACGCGAAUUGGACGUCCCUAUCAUCGAAAAUAACUUAUUAAGUACGGAGGCCCCAUACUGUCGAAAGCAUAGGAGUCAUAAACUCUCUCUCUAAAUAUAUAUAUAUAUAUAUAUAUAUAUAUAUAUAUAUAUAGUGAGGCUACUAUGCUUCUGGAAGCACGGUGCCUUCCGUGCUUCCAGGUCGUUUUUGAUGUUGCGACUUUCGAAAUGUCGAUCAGCUCCGUUAAACUUGAUCUAGAGUAUUUGAAAUACCUAGAAAAUAAAUUUUGCAAUUUUUCGAUAUCAUUUGCCUAGUGAACUAAGGGGCUCAAAAUCAACGGCUGAAAAUAAAAAUCUUACAAAACGUGAUAAUAUGACAUUAAAAUUUUAGAUCAAAGAUAUUGAACUUGUUUUAUAUAGUAUAAAGAAUUUUCUAUCAAAAUUUCAUGUGAUUUGGAUAUUUCUACACCGUUAAACUUGCAAAUGGCUCAUCAUAGCCAUUAAAAUUAUUAAUUUUGAGUCCCUUCGAUCACUGGGCAAAUGAUAUCGAAAAAUCAUAAAAUUUAUUUUCUAAGUACUUCAAAUACUCUAGAUCAAGUUCAACGGAACCGAUCGACGAUUCCAAAGUCGCAACAUCGAAAACGACCUGGAAUCACGGAAGGCUCCGUACUUCCAGAAGCAUAGUAGCCUCACUCUAUAUAUAUAUAUAUAUAUAUAUUUAUAUAUAUAACUAGGCUGGAAUACUAUUAAUAGCCACAAUGACUUGGUGCUAUUAAUUUUUCUGCACUUGGAUUAAAAGAUGUGCGGUUAAGAUGAUGUGGGCCCCCUAGGGUUGAGUGGGUGGUUAGUUGAAUAGUAUAAUCGAACGGAUGAAAAUAAUAAAAGAGGUGAAUCUAACGGCAGAAAAUUUAAUAGCACCAAAUACUUCGUGCAAUCGAUAGUAUUCCAGCCGGACUAUAUAUAUAUAUAUAUAUAUAUGCUAGGGCAACUAUACUCUUAUGAGUAUAGAGCCCUUCAUACUUAUAAGUUGUUUCCAAUGAUGGAGCUUCCGAAUCAACGAUCCACUCCGUUAAAUAUGAUCUAGAGUAUUUGAAACUUCUAGAAAAUAAAUUUUGCAAUUUUUCGAAAUCUUAAAAAGUUCAUCAAAUGAGUAUAAAAUGAAUGGUCAAAAUCGAACGAUGUCUUAAAAAUGGAUGAUCGAAUCCUUCAAUUUAAGAUCGGAGUUAUUGAUCUUUAUCUAUGUAGUGAUUAGAAUUUUCUAUCAAAAAUUCAACUGAUUUCGAUUCUUUUACACCGUUAAACUAGUAAGUAUUUCAUAUCGGCCAUUAAAAAUUGUCAAUUUUGUGACCUUCUGAUCGUAAGGUAAAUGAUGUCGAAAAUUAUAAAAUUUGAUUUCUAGACGUUUUAAAUGCUCUAAAUAAUGUUUAACGAUAUGGAUCGUCGAUUCGAAAGCUCUAUCAUCAAAAACAACUUAUGAGUACGAGGGCGAUCGUACUCAUAAAAAUAUAGUAGCCGGACUAUAUAUAUAUAUAUAUAUAUAUAUAUAUNNNNNNNNNNNNNNNNNNNNNNNNNUUCCAAAUUGACGAUCGGCUCCGUUAAAUAUGAUCUAAACCAUUUAAACUAUCUAGAAAUCAGAUUUCACGCACUUUCAAUAUUGUUCUUUUAUCCAUCUAGUGAACAGAAACUGAAUGGCUGAAAAUAAAUAUUCUUUAAAAAAUGAUGAUAGGAGUCAUGUAAUCAAGAUCAAGAGUAUAGAUCUUAUUUUAAAUAGUUUAAAGAAUUUUCUAACAAAAAUUCAAUUGAUUUGGAUAUCUUUAUGCCGUUAAACGAGAAAACGUCUCUUAUCCACCAUUAAAAUUAUAAAUUUUGAAACCCUUUGAUCAUUAGGCAAAUGAUGUCGAAAAGAUUUGAAAUUUGAUUUCUAAAUACUUUAAGUGGUAUAGAUCAUGUUCAACGGAGCCGAUUGUCAAUUUGGAAGCUCUAUCAUCGAAAACAACUCGAUAGUAAAAUGCUCCGUUUACUAUCGAGAGUAUUCUAGCUCAACUCUAUAUAUAUAUAUAUAUAUAUAUAGUGCGUCUAAUAUACUUUCGAAAGUACGGGAACCUCCGUGCUUGUAAGUUAUUUUCGAUGAUAGGAUAUCCGAUUUGACGAUCGGCUCCGUUAGGUAUAAUCUAUCCUAUUGAAACUAUCUAGAAACCAAAUUUUAUAAUUUUUCGACAUCAUUUACUAAGCGAUCAAAAUGUCCCAAAAAUAACUAUUUUAAUGGCCGAUGCGCCACGUUUUUAAGUUCAACGGUGUAGAAGUAUCCAAAUUACAUGAAAAUUUAAUAGAAAAUUCUACUUAACGUCGUCAAUAGCAAGAUCAAUACUUCCAAUUUGAAAUUUGAGUCCUUUAUCAUUGUUUUUUUAUGAGAUUUUUAUUUUCAGCCGUUCAUUUUGAGGCUACUCAUUCACUAGACAAACAAAGUCAAAAGAUUAUGAAAAUUAGUUUCUAGAUAGUUCCAAUAGCGUAGAUCAUGUCUAACGAAACUGAUCGCCGAAUCGGAUGUCCCAUCAUCUAAAACAACUUACAAGCACGGAGGCUUCCGUACUUUCGAAAGCAUAGGAGCCUAGCUCUCUCUCUCUCUCUCUCUCUCUCUCUCUCUCUCUCUAUAUAAUUAAAUUUAUAUAUAUAUAUUAAUAUGUAGAUCUGGCUGGUAUACAAUUGAUAUUAGCACUAGGGAAUUUGUUUGUUUCAACGUAAGUAGACUUGGGUGAGAGUAGACUUGAGUUGAGUUAGAGUUGGUUGAAAUAGUUUCACUUGUCGGACUGUUUUUUUUAAUUGUGAAGUGCAGUUCUGCAGUUUGUUGUUUAUUUAGUAGGAGUAGUAUAUAACAAGUGCAGCUCUCCCCCGGUAUCGUUACCUCCAAAGCCGAUUCAUUGUAUUUUGUAACUUAUAUGAAUAAUAAUUAUAAUAAAUAAAAUUAAAUUAUUUUAUGUAUAUAAUUAAUUUAUAUGUUUAUAAAAAAAAUUUAAAAAUUAUAUUUAUUUGUUCUGUAUAUUAAAUUACUCUAAAUAUGCCACACGAAAAUUAAUUUCUAAAGUUAAAAAAUUAUUAACAUUUAACAAAUUCAUUUUUCAUCAUUUUCUAAAUAUAUAAAUUAAACAAAAAAUAUAUUAAAGCUUACCUAAUCAAAUUUGAUCAUAUUUUAGAAGAGAUAACCCUAACACAUUAAUCUAUUCUUGCAUUUUUUUCACUUCACCGGAAUUGACUUCGCCCCAUAGGAGGGCGAAGUCAAGUUCAUUAUUUUAGGUGAACUGGACUUUCGAGCGUAAUAAAAUUACGGUGAACCAAACAGCGGAAGUGGUCAGUUUUCACUGAAAAACACUUCCCCCGUCCCAUUUCCACCCCACUUCCCUCGAAACAAACAAGCCCUAAGCGUUUGGUGUUAUCAUGAUUUUCACCGAUAGAUUUAAUCCCUUGACUAUUUUCACCCAUUAGAUUAUAUUAUUAAACCAAUAACUUACUCAACCUUAGGGAGCCCACAUCAUCUUAACCGUACAUUUUUUCAUCUAACAGCCGAAAACUUAAUAGCACCAAUAACUUGGUGCUAUUAAGUUUUUUACCCUUGGAUUAAAAGAAGUGCGGUUAGGAAGAUGUGGGCCCUCUAGGGUUGAGUGGGUGGUUAGUUAAAUAGUAUAAUUGAACGGAUGAAAAUGAUAAAAGAGGUAAAUCUAACGGCAGAAAAUUUGAUAGCACCAAAUAUUUCGUGCUAUUAAUAGUAUCUCAGCCGGACUAUAUAUAUAUAUAUAUAUAUAUAGAGAGAGAGAGAGAGAGAGAGAGAGAGAGAGAGAGAGAGAGAGAGAGAGAGAGAGAGAGAGUGUGUGUGUGUGUGUGUGUGUUAGGCUCCUAUGCUUUUGAAAGUAUGGAAGCCCCCGUACUUGUAUGUUGUUUUCAAUAAUGGGACAUCUGAUUCAUCGAUCAGUUCCGUUAGAUAUGAUCUACGCUAUUGGAACUAGCUAGAAAACAAAUUUCAUAAUUUUUUUGACUCUAGUACAUAUUUUUUUCCUUCAAAAUGCUAUAUGUAUAUAAUUUGGACAGAGAUUAAUUAGACUAUGUUUUGCAUCCUUAUGUAUCUGACGGAUCUAUUAGUAUAUCCUGAGACUUUCGACGUUACCCAGGGUGUGAUAAAUCUAAGUUGGUAUUGGAGCCUAAUAAUGUGUUAAGUGAACUUAAUAAAUCAUAGGCUUUUGGCAAACCUCUUAGCCUUUGUUUGGUUGGGGGUUAAGGGGUGGAAUAACCCCUUAACCCCCAUAUUAUUCCCAAACACUCUAAAAAUGGAUGGGGUUAGCUAACUCCAUCUCAAAUGGGCUAUUCCGGGUUAGCUAAUCCCAUCUAAUCCCACCAAACUCCAACAAAAUAUUAUUUUCUAUUCAUAAUAACCCACUAUCCUUCUUAUCCCACCUACUCCAAUCAAACACUACUUUUCACUAUCCCACUAUCCUUCUUAUCCCACCUACUCCAACCAAACAUUAUUUUUCACUAUUCUGGACUAACUCCAACCCUCAACCAAACAUAAAAAUACUCUAACCCCACCUUCACUCUGAACUUAACCCUAUUCCUGGAAUAACUAGUUUUUUUCUUAACUCCGAACCAAACGAUAAGAAUAUAAGACCAUGAGUGAUGUGACUUACAACAGAAUUCAGUAAAUUGGACUAUGUGAAAUUUUCAAAAAUCUAUUAAAAGUAAUCGAGUAUGUCUUGUCUUUUUAUCCUAGAUAAUUAUAUUGGCUGUAGACAAUAUAAUUAAUAUCAUAGAUAGAAAUGGGGAUGUCCUACUAAACUUUUGCUUGAUUGUGAUGAGUUGUGUGUUAUAGUAUAAUUAAUAUUGAUCUGUUCCAAGUAACUGAGAUGGGGCAAUGUGUACGGCAUUUUUUCUUUAUUUUGUAGUGCUGGUUUUCUUUUCGGGCCAAGAGUAGACUCGAAGAGAGUAGCUCAGUUGCUCUCUAAUAAGCCUAUUAUUGUUCUUCCUAACUAGUACUUUCAAUCAUACUUUAGAUCACAAAUUGUUGAAAUAAGGGUUUGGUGGUUGGUACCCGAGAUUCAAAUUCGAAUUUUAUUUAAUUUAUAUUUUCAGUUAAAUUUAUUUCUAAAUAAAAUAAAUAAAACGGAUAGAGUACUAUCUAUUUCUAAAAAAAAAAUAUAAAUUGUUAAAACAAUGUCCAAUUUCAGAACCAAAAAUCAAAGAAUUUUCUAAAGAAAGUCGGCAGUAAUUACACGCAUAUUUGUUUCGGCAAUAGGUCAAGAAAGUCUUUGAAGGCCAUUAAGAAUCCUGCCCUGAGUGAGACUCGUCAAAAUAGGCCCCCACUUCUUGUCACAAAGUUAUUUUUCCAAGAAGAGCAAUAAUAAUGGCACGAAGAAGACCCUCGUCACAUUGUCAAGGGCAGCCAUAUUUGACCAAAUCAACUCGCUACACAAGAAAACUUGCUAGACAAGAACAAUGCGUGUAAGCUGCACAUCCGAAAAUUAUAAAAAAAAAAAAAAAUCAACAACAACAACAACUGUAACAAANUAUGGCAGUUCCAAGAGAUAAAAAAAAAAAAAAAAAAAAAAAAAAAAAACACAGAUUGCAUAGGAACUAGGAACUAGAGUUCGAAGUUUAUUAAAUAAGAGAGGUUUAAUUAGACUUACUAUACUAUAUUUUAGUGUUAUUUUUACUUGUAAUAUUAUGCUACUCUUUUUUUUCAAUUUUUUGUAUUAUCAUAUUUUAUCAAUUUUUUUCUCUCCCUUUAUAUAUAUUACAUUAAAAAUAUAUUAUUUUAUUAUUGACUUUGCCGAGUUAUUAUAUCCGAAUCAUAUCGUAUGUAUUCCGAGUCUCCUAUCCAUGUCCCGGUAAUAUAGCCAAUAAUUGACUAAUUUAGUUGGAAAUACGUACAUUUAUUAAAGAUUCUUUCCCACUGAGGCCCUCUGCAUCACAGAUUUGCAAUGCCUCCUACGCUUGUUGCUAUUCUGUUAGCUCUGCUUCUCCUUGCUGCCGGGAGGAGAAACAUAACCGUCUCAGGAAAUGAUGCAGACGACGAUUUCUUCGAGAAAUGCCCGGCUUCGCGGUGCGCGGAAGGCGGCCUGGAUAUCAGAUUUCCGUACCGGCUCGACUCGAGCCCUUCGUACUGCGGCGCUCCAGGAAUGGAGCUCUCGUGCUCGGGCAACGACACUCUCCUAGCGCUCCCGCAUGCAGGAUCUUUCAACGUGACUGCGAUCGACUACCGCUACGGUGAAAUCACGAUCAAGCUGGGAGGUUCGUGUUUACAUGGCUUGACGGGAAACCUGCUGGGAUUCGACAAUCUAACCACGACGUCGGUGUAUCGACCAAUGGACAGUCGGGACAUCAGCUUGCUGCGCUGCCCAAGAAAAUGGACACCAGACGAAGACUAUUUUACCGCCGGCCCGAUCUCUUGCCUGAGCACUGUAUCGCAAUUUGUCUAUGUAGUGGCCAUCUAUGAUUAUGCUGCCAGUCUCCCUUCGGAUUGUCGGGUGAUCGCAGCCGAUCGUAGCAUUUCCUUUCGACGCAUGACCGAAUCCGAUUCCAAUUGGCCAACCUUCGACGAAAGGGUGGCCGAUCUCAUAACACGCGGCGAGGUGACUCUAGUGUGGCAUGUUGCCCAAAUAACUGAUACAUGCAUCCGCUGCGAGAAGGCGAAGAAGUACUGCGGAUUUAGCUCGGUGACCAACCAACCAUUCUGCCGACAAGGUAUAUAACAUUCGGAUUCGCCGUUACCUUAUUUUGCAUCCAAUUUGCUGUCAUCUGACUACUUAUUCUUCUUCACUUCGCAGGUCCAAAUGUCAAGCUCAUCGCAGGUGCGUAUCUUAUUGAAAAUUUUGUUUCGGCAAAAGAUCUUCCACUUUACCUCAAAUUUUCAUCAACGCUGCAUGCGGUUUAAGCUUAUCCGCUUAGAAUGAGUUACGAAUUAAGUUCUUUUUCAUAAUUCACAUAUAUUUACGCAUGAUUAUAAUUGACUGUGAUUCUUGAAUUCUCUCUGCAGCAACAUCUUCCGCCGCAUUUGUUAUACUUUUGUUGCUUGUUGUAAUCUUAGUCUACUUCUUUAGACGAUCAAAAAGGGAAAAAGAAAUACGUUUGAAGGUGGAGAAAUUCCUCGCGUCGUACAACGCCAUAAAACCGACUCGCUACACCUUCUCGGAGCUCAAGAAGAUUACUAAAAGGUUCAAGAAUAAGUUGGGCCAAGGCGGUUUCGGAAGCGUCUACAAGGGCGAGUUAGCAAAUGGAAUUCCUGUUGCGGUAAAGAUGCUCGAGAGAUCGAAGUGGGACGGUCGAGAGUUCACCAACGAAGUCGCGACAAUCGGACGAAUUCACCAUUUCAACGUCGUUCGCUUGUUGGGAUUUUGCUCGGAAGGAACCACACAUGCGCUUAUAUACGAGUUCAUGCCAAAUGAAUCACUAGAGAAGUACAUCUUCUCUAAAAGUAGGAAUUCCCUUCAUGAGCCACUAAGGAUGGAGAAAUUGUUAGAGAUCGCAACAGGAAUUGCUCGGGGGAUUGAGUAUCUGCAUCAGGGGUGCAAUCAACGCAUCUUGCACUUUGACAUCAAGCCUCACAACAUCUUGUUGGAUCGCAAUUUCAACCCAAAGAUAUCCGACUUUGGUCUCGCAAAACUGUGCUCGAGAGAUCAAAGCAUUGUUACGAUGACCGCGGCAAGGGGCACGAUGGGCUAUAUCGCGCCGGAGAUGUAUUCGAGAAACUUCGGAGCGGUGUCCUACAAAUCGGACGUGUACAGUUUCGGAAUGCUGGUGAUGGAAAUGGUCGGCGGGAGGAGGAACGCCGAUCCUCGAAUUGAGAACCAAAGCGAGCUUUAUUUUCCGGAGUGGAUUUAUGAUCAACUAGUGAACGGGCAAGACAUUGGGUCUGCGAUAGAGAUAGCAAAUACAAGCGAAAUAGAGAUUGCGAAAAAACUCGCCGUUGUGGCGUUGUGGUGCAUACAAUGGGAUCCGAAGGAUCGGCCGUCGAUGACGAGAGUCGUGCAGAUGUUGAUCGGCGAUUCGCAGAACUUGCCAAUGCCACCGACACCAUUUGUGUCCUCACAGGUCAAGAUGUAAUUUUCACAGCUCCAAAUUAGUGAAGUAUAGGAGAGCGCGUUUGAACAUAUAGCUAGUAUUCGAGUUCAUAGUUACUUUGUAUCUAAUUAUACUUGUUUUAUUUUCCUUUCUACGAGCAAAAUUCGAACCUACGUCAUACUGCUCAGGAGAAGGGUACCUAUGAUCAAUUAUCUUAUGAAAUUGUGGUGGUCUAAUCUGGGAUUUGCUUUUGGCUUCUUUGUUUGCUUGAAUUGUUAAGUGUAUGACCCCUGUUGUUAUAGAUUUAAUUGUAUUAUGCUGUAUUAUAUUUUUUUAAAAAAAUUUAAAACCUUUUACACUGCACUAUUUUUUUUUUUUUUUCUAAGGCGCAUCACUGACGUAUUCUCUUCUUUUUUUCAUCUUUGCACAGUUGCACUAUUUGACUAACAUCUCUAAUUCUAAUGUAAACUAUUCUCUUAUGGAAAUAAAGAUCUCAAGAAGAAAAGUAUAACAGCUAAUAAAUCAAGAUUAAGGAAAAGGCAAGUUGUAGAGAAAAAUAUACGAAACAGACCACCCUCCGCACAGAAGGGCCCAAAUCACUUGAGUGGGCUUCAGACCCGGACCAAAACUAGAAGAAAUAAAGCCUGGUCCAAACACAAGAGCAAAGCCCGAUACCCAUCGGACCUUUUUACGCCGAUUUUUCAAUUAAAUUCUACUAAAAUAGAAGUAUAUAUAUAAAUAUGUGUACAAAAAUACAUAAGAAUCUUAUUUUAUAAAUACCAUUGGUUAAAUAGUGUAAUAGAAUAAAUAAUAGUAGAAUACAAUGCAUGUAUGGUAAUUAUUUAUGUGUUUGUGUGCACUGCCCUGCACACACACAUACAAAUAUACACAUGCACACGCGAACACACGAAUAUAGGUUCGCUGGUGCGGGAUCGGGCUGGUUAUGGUCGGCCCAAUUAGGCCCUAAAUUAUUUUGGGUCUAAAUUUUUGAGUCCGGCGCAAGCCCACAGUUGUUUCAAUGCCUGGCCCAAGAGGUCCAGUUCCACUCCUAACAGGAAGGAAUGGUUAGGGAUGCAAUUGUCAUUUCCAUUGUUAAUUAAUUUGCACCGUAUCUCUAAUUUGUAACCCAGAAGAUAUUUAUGAAACAAUCUAAAUAUUUACGGGGACACAUAUGAUAUAGCAAACUUACUGGAUUAAAGGUGUAAUGUAGGUUGUGCCGGGACAGACAGACUGAGUUCUAAAGCAGAAUUGUGCCAAAGUUCAAUGCACUUUUUAAAAUUUUAAAACUUGUGCUCCUUUUGGGACGAGGUCCCAAGGGGGUCCUAAGGAGGAAGAGAACCCAAGUUCCCAAAAUGACCCCUCCCUUAGGGCGGGUAAAUAAAAAAACAGAGAAGUCACUUUUUAAUAUUAAAACUAUAUAGUAGUUUUAAAAAAGUUAUUGGGCUGUGCGGGGCUGAUUAGCAAACCGGGAUGCAAGGCCUAGACCCAACAGCUCGGCACCGCAAGCACAUAAUGCGGGCCGGGCAGUAGUGUGUUGGGCUGCCUGCUGCCAGGUGCGGCCCAGCGUGGCCCGCGCCUUCUAGAGGGCUGUGCCAGGCUAGGCCACUAGCGACCUCCGGACGCACCCAGCACAGCCCCAAAACCUUACAUGAAGUUGAACUAUGAAUAAUUUUGAAUCAACUAUCUAAUUUUUCAAAAUUUUAUGUGAUUUUAGUCAGCCAACAGUAUUUUAACUUUAUAAUUUACGUUAAUUACUUAUAUUAAUAAAUUUAUAGUUAUGAGAAUUGUAUGAACUAUGAAGUACGCUAAUUAAAUCUGUAAAAAUAAACGAUGAAUUUAAAUUUUGAAGUCAAAGUACCGUCGACUAACUCAAAUCAAAUAAAUUAAAAGAUUAGAUAGUAAAAUUAAAAUUUUAAAAGAUUGGAUAACUAAUUCAAAAUGGUUUAUAGCUCAGAUAAGUAAGGUAUGCUUUUACCUAAAGUUUAUUUCCAAUUUUAGACAUGAAAGGAGAGUAGACUUUGUUUUCAUACUUACCUCAGCAACUUUCCUCUCCACAUGCAAGAGUCGAUUUAGCAGUUAUGCUAUUCUUGAAAUCUUUUGUUCUCACAGGCUAGCUUAGGGUGUGUUUGGUUUGUACAUCAAAUCGUAAAAAAUAAUUUUUUAUAUAAAAAAUUUUUCGUGAAAAAAAGUUUUAUGUUUUGUAUAGUAUUUGGUUUGUAGAAAUUUUUUUUUCAUCAAUAUUUAUUUGGUUGAACGAAAAAAAAAUCUACACUUGUUUGGUUUGGUGGAAAAAAAUGAAUGAAAAAAAAUUUCUACAGCUUGAGUUUUCAUUUUUCGUCGAAAAUCGGAGAAAAUGAAAAAAAAAAAAUCUGUUUUCCUCAAAUUCAUAAAAAUACUUUUUCAAAAAAAAAAUUAUGACUAAACAAGCACACGAAAAUAAUUUUUAAGUUGAAAUGUAAUUUUUGAUAUAGUUUACGGAAAAAACAAAUUAAACACACCCUCACUUGUUUGGUUUGGUGGAAAAAAAUGAAUGAAAAAAGUUUUCUACAGCUUGAAUUUUUAUUUUUCAUUGAAAAUCGGCGAAAAACGGAAAAAAAACUCUGUUUUCCUCAAAUUCGUAAAAAUACUUUUUCAAAAAAAAAAUUAUGACUAAACAAGCACACGAAAAAUAAUUUUCAAGUUGAAAUGUAAUUUUUGAUAUAGUUCAUGGAAAAAACAAAUUAAACACACUCUUAAUAUCCUUAGCUGAAAACGUGAAUCAACUAGAACUCAAACUUAGAACCUCGGGUACCAAUCAUCAAACUUUUUGCCACUUGCGCUAGAAACGAUCAGUACUUUUUGUUAGUUAAAUAGUACCAUCACAAUUAUGUUGUCCAUUUGAAAUUGAUCUCAACAGCUAUAUUUGGAGCCUUACCUUGUGAUACUUUUCUGCAGAUUAAUCAAACACGCUAGUUUGAUUGAUGCCAGAGGGGUUUCCUCACCCAAGUCAAGUCCGAGGUCAAUUCUAUCUCCUUCCCCAUGCACUAGUGUUGGUUCACCAUAGAAUUAAUUAGUGGUGUUUUUAUUGUCUUUUGUUUUUUUAUACACAUUGCAUGCAACUCUAUAGAUGAGACUAGUCAUAAGUGGUGCUGUUGUUGUACUUUUCCACAUCUUUAAUUUUAUUCCACAAACUUCGCUUUCAAGAAUUCAUGGACCCUUGCCAUCUAAAAGUCAAGGGACAAAAAAUGUUUUAUAAGAACAUGUAUCACACGACAUAGAAUUCUACAAGAGAAACUUUUGCCACCAACUGCCACUAUGAGGAGGUCUAGUCGACCUGUAAUCUCUCGUGAGGGAAUCAAGAAGCACUUCAACUGCUCGGCUUCUCGAUCGGAAUCUUGUUGUGUGAUGUUAUGCCUCCUCCUCCUCCUCCUCCUCACUUGUGUUGGCGUCGCAGAAGGCCGCAAGAAACAUGUCAGUUGUUUUUCGUCGUGCGGGCAUCUCCACGACAUCGGCUAUCCUUUCCGUUUGAAGAGUGAUCUGCCAGGAUGCGGAUCCCCAAACUACGAGCUUCUCUGCGACAGCGGCAAACCUAUGCUGGAGUUGGGAUCGGCAAAGUACUACAUAACGAACAUCUCGUACAAAAACAUGACCAUCAGUGUCAUUGAUCCCGUCUUUGUAAACGAUAAUAAAUAUUGCCCUCUUCCUCUCCAAUCUCCUCCGCCUGAUUUUUCAUAUCUGUACGACGACGUUGGAGGAUACUGGGCUCUCUUCGUGAAUUGCACGAGGCCGAUCCACGACGGCACGUACCAGCGCGGGCCUAAUUGCCUAAGUAGUAACAACUCAUUUGUCUAUGUAGUAGCUGAUAUGUGGGGCAUUGUGGAACCUAUUAAGCCCUCAUGUGGAUUUCUGGCCUCGAUUCCUAUGUCUGUCAGGCAGUUCAAUCCGAACAACACCGAUAUUUUUGAGCUCUUAAAGGAGGGAUUCAUGCUUUCGUGGGAUGUAGGCCGUGAGACAUCAUCUGCAAUCUUUCAUGAAUGCUUGAACGAAGCAAAAAGGUACAAAACACCACCAUAUAUAUAUAAAUUUGAGUUCGCGAGUCUUCAUUAAGUAUUGCUACCAAGCCUUCAUGCCAUUUCAAAUUUACUUUUGAGUUUAAAAGAAAAAAAUUCUUAGUUAUAAGAUAGUUUUUCAAAGGUUGAGCUAUACGUGCCGAAGAUUUAAUAUAGAUCUAGCUACUAAAUUAUACAAAAUUGUUUCCAAAAAAAGAAAACUUCAAAUACCCCCGUGGUUUCGCACUUUUUCACUUUAGUACCCUAUGGUUUAAAGCGUAUCAAAUUAGUACCCUAUAGUUUCGUACUUUUUCAAUUUAGUAUCCUAUGGUUUAAAGUGUAUCAAGUUAGUAUUAUGUGGUUUUGCACUUUCUCACUUUAGUACCCUAUGGUUUAAUAUUUUGUUAAAUUAUAUAUAAAAAACUUCAGGUACCCUAUCUAGAUUUAUCGAAUAUUCAUUUUAGUCCCCCUUAGUUUUAACUUUGUCACUGAUUUAACGAAAAAAAUACUCCGAAAUGGAUAAUAAAAAGAGAAAAAUAAAACCACAGGGUAUUAACUUGAUACAAAAAUAAAACCACAAAGUACUAACUUGAUAUACUUUAAACCAUAGGGUACUAAAGUGAGAAGGUGCGAAACCACAGUACUUACUUGACACACUUUAAACCACAAGAUACUAAAGUGAGAAAGUGUGAAACUAUAGGGAAGGGUAUCUGAAGUUUUUCCUUCCAAAAAAUUAAGGGCGUGUUUGGUUUCACGUAAAACCAGUUAAAAUUUUUUUUUCUAACGUUUGGUUUGGUGUAAAAGGAAAAAUUAUUUUCCAGAUGUGAAGGAAAACUCAGCUUUUUGUUUUCCGCAUCGUCUCCACGGAAAACGAAAACUUGGAGAAGAAAUCGCGGCUCACGCACAAUAAAAGCAUCACGGUCCACGAGCUUAGCCUGAGAACUCGUGGACCGCGUGAGUGGUCCAUGCCGGACCGGACCACAUAGCCAUCUCUCUCUCUCUCUCUCUCUCUCUCUCGUGUGUGUGUGUGUGUGUGUGUGUGUGUAUAUAUAUAUAUAUAUAUAUAUAUAUAUAUAUAUAUAUAUAUAUAUAUAUAUAUAUAUAUCGUAAAAUGUAGAAUAUCUUAUUUUUGAAAUUCAAAACUGUCUUGUGACAUUAUAGUAGGAUUAUUUGAUCCACAAACUUUUCAUUAUGGAGGAUUCAGUGAAACCUUUCAUUUUUUAUGGUCGUAAUUUUAAAAGGUGGCAGAAUCAAAUGAGAUUCUGGCUCACCAUCCUUGGGCUGGUUUUUCCUAUCUUGGAUUUUGCCGAGAAUGGCAAUGGACCUGCACUUGAAGGUGCAAUCCAGACUGUGGUCAAUAGACCGGUUACUCGAAGCCAAACCCAGGCUGGAUCCACUUCUCCCUCCACUGAAACUGCAACUACAUCUACACCUGCAACUGCACCUUCUGUUGACCCUAACAUGAUCAACUAUCUCUAUUUAAACCGAAUUCUCAGUACCCUAUCUGACAAAUUGUAUGACAUCUAUUGUAGUGCUAAAACAGCUAGGAAACUUUGGACAUCCUUAGAAAACAAAUAUCGUCAGGUUGAUCCUAUCCAGAAGAGAUACUAGGCGUCAGAUCUAAUUAAAUUUAAGUUAGUAGGUAAUAAGUUUAUGUCUGGCCAACUUCAUGAUUUUGAGCAUAUAGUUGAGCAACUUAAAUCUAGUGGUAUAGAUCUUGAUGAGAGUUUCUUAGUUGUUGCCUUUAUAGAUAAGUUGCCACCCUGUUGGUUGAAUCAUGCAAAUAAUCUUAACCGCAAUCAAAGAGAGCUAUCCCUGAAUUAUGUUCUAAGAUCCAUUAGGAUAGAAGAGUCGAACCGAGCUAGGGAUAAGAAGCCUAGUGAACCUACAAGCCAAGCCAACCUAGUAGACCAUCCCAAAAAAUAAAGGUAAAAACUUUCAGCCUCGCCCGAACUUUAAGAAGAAGCCUUUCCACCAUAGGAAGUUCAACCCAAACUUUAAAAAAUCUAAAUCUGAGGGAAAUGGAAGCAACUCUGGUUGCUUUGUGUGUGCGAAGACAAAUCACUUUAUAAAAAAUUACUACUUCCGCAAGACUCGACCUUCCGUACCAAAGAAGAAGAAGGAAGCUCCACCUGAGCGCCAGAUGAAUAUGCUGAUUGUUGGUUCUGACCCUUCUGACUCCACUAUUAGGUUAGGAUCUAGUUUACCUAAAGGUAAUCUUGCCAAUAGUUCUUUUGAUUGGUGGAUAUAUAGUGGAGCUAAUGUUCAUGCUUGUUCUGAUCGUUUGUGGUUUUCCACCUAUUAGGACUCAUGUAGAGAAUCAGUGAACAUGGGGAAUGCAGCCUCUUUUCACGUGCGAGCGACAGGUCAAGUUGACUUGAAGCUGACCUCCGGAAAGACCUAACCUUGCACGAAGUCCACCAUGUUCCCGACCUUAGGAAGAAUUUGAUUACUGGUUCUCUCUUAGUACAGCAAGGUUUUAAGUUAGUUUUUGAAUGUAAUAGAAUAGUCAUAACAAAAGGUGUGAACUUUGUAAGGAAAUAUUUUUUUAGUGAUGGUUUGUUUAAAUUAUCUGUAUCUUUUCCUACUAUGAAUGAAAAUGCUCUUAUUUUAAAUGUUAGUUUUCCUAAUAUUUGGCAUGGAAGAUUGGGACAUGUGAAUUUUAAUACUAUCAAAAGAUUGAUGUAUCUUGAUUUGAUUCCUAAAUCUGAUUUACCUGAUCAUAAAUGUGAAAUAUGUGUGCAAGCUAAGGAGCCUAGAAAAUCAUUUAAAUUUGUAGAUAGAGAUUGUGGUAUUUUAGAAUUGGUGCGCAGUGAUGUUUGUGAUGGAAGUAGACCUAGUAGAGGUGAAAUAAGUAUAUAUUUUAUGACAUUUAUAGAUGAUCAUUCAAAGUAUUCUUAUGUUUACUUGAUCAAAUCAAAAGAUAAGGUUUUAAGCAGAUUUAAAAUUUAUAAGGCUGAGUUUGAAAAUCAAUUAGAUAAGAAAAUUAAGAUUUUUGAUAUUUGAUCAAGGUGGUGAAUAUACUUUAAAUGAGAUGAAUGCAUUUUGUUAAGAAUUUGGAAUUGUACAUCAAGUGACUGCACCUUAUACGCCUCAAUCUAAUGGAGUUGCUGAAUGUAAGAAUAGAACUUUGAUGGACAUGGUGAACUCGAUAAUUAUUAGUUCAGGCGCCCCCAAGAACUUGUGGGGGCAAGCUUUGAUUUCUGCAUGUAUGAUCUUAAAUAAAAUUUCCCACAAGAAUUCUAAUAUGUCUCUCUAUAAGCUUUGGAAAAGUAGCAAGUCUAAUCUGAAUUAUUUUAAAGUGUGGGGGUGCCUAACUAAAGUGAAGAUAUCUAAAAAUAAGAAGAGAAAGAUUGGACCUAAGACUGUGGAUACUGUUUUUGUGGGUUGUGCACAAUAUAGCAAUGCAAAUAGACUUUUGGUGGUGAAUUAUGAAAUUAGUGAGAUUUCUAACAAUACUAUUAUAGAGGAUAUAGAGAUACAGUGUACUUUGAAGAUAUGUUUUCUUUUAAGACUGGAGUAGAUAGACCUAUUCCAGCUGAACCUAUAGGUAGCUUUAGUAGACCUAGAGUUAGUGAACCUAUAGGAGAGAAUGAACCUAGAAGAAGUAAGCAUCCUAGAGUAGUGAAAAUUUUUGGAGAUGAUUUUUGUGUACUGCUAAUAGAAGAUACUAUAUCUACCUUUGACCAAGCUAUGAAGUCUGUAGAUACAUCGUUUUGCAAAGAGGCUAUUAAUUUUGAGAUGCAAUCUAUUCUACAGAAUCAUACCUGGGAGUUGACAGAUUUAUCUCUAGUAUGUAAGUCUGUAGGUUGUAGAUGAAUCUUUAAGAAGAAGUUGAGACCAGAUGGAUCUGUAGAUAAAAUAUAAGGCUAGAUUAGUGGCACAAAGAUUUGUACAGAACCCUGGGGUAGAUUACUUUGAUGUUUAUGCUCCUGUUGCUAGGAUUACUUCUAUUAGAGUGUAUUAUCUUGGCCUCUAUCCAUGAUUUGAUUGUUCAUCAACUGGAUUUAAGAUAGCCUUUCUGAAUGGUGAUUUAGAUAAAGAGAUUUCUAUGAAGCAACCUAAAGACUUUGUAGUUUCUGGGCAUGAGAACAAAAUGUUCAAAUUGAAUAAAUCUUUAUAUGGACUUAAGCAAGCUCUUAAGCAGUGGCAUUUGAAAUUUGAUUCUUUGGUUGUAUCAAAUGGCUUUCAUGUGAACAUGUCUGAUGAAUGUGUGUAUUCGAAGGAAUGUGAUGAAUAAAUAGUGAUCUUAUGUUUGUAUGUUGAUGAUAUUUUGAUUUUUGGUACUAAUAUGAAUGUGAUAUAUGAUGUGAAAUAUUUAUAAAAUAAAAAUUUUGAUAUGAAAGAUCUUGAAUAAGCAAAUGUUAUUCUCAACAUGAAGAUAAUUAGAAAAUCGAAAGAAAUUAUUAUGAGUCAAUCCCACUAUAGUGAAUAGUUGUUGAAAAAGUUUGGAUACUUUGAUAUUAGACCUAUAGUGAUGACACCUUAUGACUCUAAUGUGCAUUUUAAGAAAAAUAGAGGAGAUCCUAUAGGUCAAAAUAGAUAUUCAUUAAUUACUGGAUCCUUAGGAUAUCUGGUAGAUUACAUUAGACCUAAUUUGGUUUAUACUGUGAAUCGAUUGAAAAGAUAUACCCAUAAUCCAAACAGACAGCAUUGGAAUACCUUAGAAAGAGUUUUGAGAUAUCUAAAGUGAACUAUAUCCUAUGGAUUGCAUUAUACUGAUUUUCCUGCAGUAUUGGAAGGAUAUAAUGUGCUAAUUGGAUUAGUGAUACAACUGAUAUAAAGUCGACUAUUAGAUUUAUUUUUCUCUUAGGAGGAGCAGCUAUUUCUUGGAAGUCAACUAAACAAUCCCUUGAUUGCUAGAAGUAUUAUGGAAUCUGAACUCAUAGCUUUGGACACCACUGUAGCAGAAGCUAAGUGGAUUAGAGAGUUUCUUUAUGAUUUGCCACUGAUGGAGCGACCUUUAGCACCUAUAUGUAUUCAUUGUGAUUGUAGAUCUGCAAUAGAUAAGUGUGUCCGAGAGAAUGUGGAGACUAAAAUGAAUAGAUUUAUGAAAAUGAGACAUAAGUUCAUUCGAUAGAAUUUGAAAGAAAAUAUGAUUGCAUUGGAAUUUGUGAGAUUUGCGAAGAAUUUGGCUGAUCGACUUACGAAGGGAUUAUCUAGGACAGUGAUCUUAGAAUCGUCGAGGAAGAUGGGGGCUUAGCUCAUAAGAAGUUACCGGCGAUGGCAACCCAACCUGUUGCAGGUUUAAUAGGUAGAAACAAAUCGAACAGGUAGCUGUGAGAAGCACUGGUUUUAUAUUCUCAUCUCUAUGGCGACAGUGCUCAUAUCUGCAAGUGGAUAGGAGGGGCAUUGGCUCUGAAUGGUUCUGAUACCUAUAAGGCAGGGUUUGACUUUGCAGAUAACCUUUGAGGACCUACUAUAUGUGUGGAAUCGUGAGGCAGCGAUAAUGAGAAGAGGGUGGUUCCCUAAAACACACAUGAAGCAAUACUAGCGCAUGACCAUAAAAGCGCUCACCCGCUUAGAAUCUAAACGGCUGUACCAUGUGUGCAGUUUGUGAAAAUCCGAUUCACCUGCCUUGGUUCAAAGCGUAGUCCACCAUUGUGCCAUCAGAUAUACAUUGACAAACACUAAGUGAAGGUUCAAACCCGAAAGGUACCUUUGCCGAAUACGUGGUAUAAGAGAUCUAGCAUUCUUUUGAAUUGUUUUGAAUUUCUGUUCUAUUUACUUUCUUUAUUUGAAGUUUUAAAUCAUGUGGGGGAAUGUUAGAUUUUAUUGAAUUUUUGGUGAUUUAAAACUUCAUGAGCCUCUUGGGCAGCCCAAUACUUAAUGGACCUUGCCUAAGAAGCCAACUUAGGUUUCCACAUGUGAGGAUUAGUUCCACAUUGGAAACUAAAAGUGUGUUGUUUGUAUUUAUAUUUUUUUUAUUCUCAAGUUAGUUGCUUGGAAGAAAAUGAGAGUUAUGCUCUCGACUAAACACACGCACACGAGCACGAGCACGAGACGAGCCGAGCCAGCAGGGUGGCGGCACGUGGCCGAAACAAAUGCCAUUAUAAUUUUUACCGAUCCUACCAAUAACGGCAAUUGUCAUAAUUGCUGCAAAACUAUUUAGCGACAAUUAUAAUUGUCGGGAAUUUAAAAUAUAAUUGCCACUAAAACUCAAUUUUGUUGUAGUGUACUUGGAGUUGGAUUCAAAGUUAAUGCCACUUGUAAUGUACAGGAUUUUAAUAUAAAGGUAAAUAUAAAUAAAAAUAGUAUGAGAUACUAUUUUUAUUUCACUUAAAGAAGUAAAAUAUAAGUUGGAAGUGACUUGUUCUGAAAUUAGAAUGAAAACAGAAAAUUUAGAAUUUUCUGUUUGAAACGGGGCUGAUAUUUUAGCAGAAAAUUUACAGUGUCAGAAAAUUAUGAAAAUCUGAAAAUAUGUCGAAAUUAUUUUUAUGAGACUAGAUUUAAAGUUUCAUGUCAUUCUGACGCCCGGAAGGUGGAAAAUAAAAUCUGACUACUAUCUGCUAGAGAUUUUCGUUCGGUAGAGUUUUCGGUGACCAAAAAUGGUCCAAACUAGGAAGUUAAGAUAUCUUUCUUCUUGUUAAGUAAAACCGAGUCUGACUGUCAAAUUUGAGUAUAAACGGACAUUCAGAAGGGCUCCGGCGAAAAGUAUCAGAUUCUUACCUGCUAAACUGAUAAUUGUAAUAGUGUUUUGGGGGCCUAUAUAUAUGUAGCAAUGGCUUUCUCUUUUGUCUAGUGCAACCCGAGAGUGAGAGGGAGAAGCAAAUAUUCUCUCUUUCUCUCUAGCUUUCACUUCUCUAUCCCUCUUUUGUGAUCUCUCCACCAAAGAGAGGAAUUGGAGAAGGAGUUGGAGAAGAAGCUUGGUGGAGAAGAAGGCUUGAAGUUGAGCUACUACCUCUUCUUCUUUUUUAGCUCAAGGAAAGGAAAGCUUGUGAGGUAAGCUUCAUGAACCUCUAAUGGUGAAUAGCUAGGGUUUGGUUUAUAUACCAUAGAAAUGGAUCUAGAUGAAACCUUAGAUGCUAGUAGGUUGCUAUUUGCAUGAAUCAAAGGCUUGUAUGGCUAUUCUUGCAAUAGUUGCAUCUUAGGGUUUAAAAAAAGGGCUUUUGUUGUUUGAGGGUUUUGAUCUAAUAUAACCCUUGGGUUCUCUAAUUGAAGGUUAAAGGAGAGCCCUAAACAACUUUAGGUUGAAAAUCGGAGUGCGUUCGAUGAUCGUUUGCGAGUUCGAACCGAACCGGACAACUUGUGCCGCGGUAGGUCGAUUGCAAGUGACUACAAGCAAUCGGAGAGCGUUGCAAGGUGGGUUGUGCUCACCGAAGAUAUUAACUCACUUCCAUGUCGAAGUGAAGUGUUAAUUAUCAUUGAUGCAUAUAUGGUGGUUAGUUGUAAAACAUAUGAAUGCAUGAGAUGAAUGCUAUGUUAGACUAUCAUUGGAUGAUAAUGAUGAUGUAUGGUUACUGUUGAUGCAUAUACAUAUAUUUGGUAGGUUGUACAUGAUAAUAUGAGUGUAGGAAUCAUAUUAUACUUGAUGUUGUUACCUACCAUGAGAUGCUAUAUGGAUGCAGGAGAAGAAAUAUACAUGUUAACAUAUUGUGGAAUAUGCUAGAGGAUAUACAUGCAUGAUGACAUGUUGUAGCAUGUGUUAGAUUCAUGAAGAUGUGAAUUUUGGUCGAUAACUCUAGGUUGAUUAGAGAAUUCGACAUUAGAAAAUAAGAACAUAUGAAAUCUAUAAUACUCGAUAUGGAUAAGUAGGAUGUCAAGUAGAUCGAGUGGCGUUUGGAACUAGUGUAGUAGAAGCACUAUGACCUGUCUAGUAGACAGGGUAUCCUCAGUAGACGAUGAUUGAAUCAUACUCACUUAGUCUGUUUUCACUUGGGGUGGUCGCUCCACACAAGCAGUGAGCUCCGGAGUCAUCACACUAUGGGUAAGAAGAACCUACUCAGCAGGCGGUCUCGGUAUGCGAGUGCAGAUUCUCCUCACCUAUGAGAUUUUGAGAAGUGAGUCGGGGCGUAACCUUCGAGUUAGCCAGUUAGACUGGGUGAUGAGCAUAUGAAUCCCAGCAGAGUGGAGCAGAGUGGAUUCGGUAUCCCAGUAGAGUGGAUUUGGUAUCCCAGUUUAGUGGAUCUAAGGCUGAGGUACAUGUGAGACCUCCUUCACCUUGAGCCUGGCUUUACGCGGUAUUCCGCGAAUGAUUGACUCAAGACCGAGUCGAGUGGAUAGCUUUAUAAAAGUAGAUGAAACCUUGUGAGCAAACAGUAAAUGUAGAUGAAACCUUAUGAGCAGAAUUGUAAUUGACAUGAAUCUAAGAUAGUGAAAAACUUAGAAGUCAAUUGGAUGAGCUGUGGAUAGCGAGACAGAAAGUAGAAGCAGUUGAUCUACUUAUAUUGCUGCACGUUGAGUUGCAUGACUUACAUUGAUGCAUGUUGAGUUGCACGAUUUGCAUUGUUGCAUGUUGCGAGGCAUGAACAUGAUAACUGUUAGUUGCAUAAAGUAUAUGAUGAUAUAUAUGUGGAUAUCUGUUGGACUAACAUGUUUGCAGUGCCUCUUUCGGACCUGGUGGGUCGAGCUCUUCCCUUGGGUGACCGUACCCACUGGGAACUAUAUUUAUAUAGUUCUCACCCCAUAUUAUUUUGGGGGAUUUCAGGUUCACACGCGAGCGGCGCUGCGGUGCGAGAAAAGGGCGUAGCUUCGUAGAUAGCGCCCUACCACAGAGACCAGUAAUAGCAUUGCCCCAAGUCGGCCUAGCUAUGGGUUGUAGAAAAGAAGAAAACAAUGUGUAAUAAUAUCGAUUGUAUUUGGAAGAAAAGAAAACGAAAAUAAAUAUCUAAAAAGCAUGUGUUGUGAAUGCUUGUAAUAACUUAGUUGUUUUAUGUUAUUGAUACCUUCCUUAUGCAAUCAUGUAUGAAUGUUGUUCCUGGUUGGAACCUCGUGAUUUGUAUUGAUUGUGACGCCGAGGACGUUCAGGAAAAACUCAGUUCAUUCGGUGGUCUGUUGGCGUGCCCGAAUCCGACCAAAUAGGCGGGUCUCGAGGCGUGACACCACUGAUUUACAUCUAUCGUGCUAUGCUGAAAUUUUUCAGGAAUUGAUUUUAUUCGUCGAUCGAAACGAAUUUCUCCGUAUGAUUCUAAUAGGGGAGUCCAGAAGAGCCACGCGUGAAUUCUAGCUGAUUGAAAUUUGCUCCUAGCUCAAUUUGAAGGGAUAUUAUUUUCUAAUUGGACUAAUUGGAUCCUGAAGUUGAAUUCGUUCGAAAUGUUAACUUUUGUUGGACACUCUAUUCAAGUUUUAAUUUCAUUACCUUCGGCAGGAAUUUUUACAUUUUCGCAUCACUUCCCUUUUACUUGGAGUUAGGGGAAGGUACUUGAGGAGUCUAAGUCAACCAGUUUAGAUUAGCGAAUAAGGUGGGUUAAUAUUGACCGAAUACUUCGGAAUCCCUCCUAAGUUGUAGAGAAUUUCAGCACUCUUUAAUUGUAUCAUGUUAUCAUAUUAGUAGCUCGAAUUUAAACAUUUGCAUAAGUUUAAAUGAAAUAUGAAUUUGGAGCAUGAUUUAGUAAUUUUAGAUAAAUUUUUACAUAUUGAACUGGGACUUAACUUAGAAGAAAACUCAUUAAACCUACACAUGUCACUUUUCGAGAAUGCUAACAGAUUUAGUUUCAGGAGCUAUUUUUACUCUUGUAUCACUGCUGUUACUGCGAGGUAGAUGCUUAGUUUAGUGUAGGGUGUUACAUCCUCCCCUCCUAAAAGAAGUUUAGUCCUCUAAACUUAACACACCUUAGCUCUCGAAGAGUUUGUUAGAAAAUAACCGGCACAUUAGAAAAACGCAGCGGAAAAUAAUUUUGCACUUUUAAUUUUUUUCGGAAGCCAAAUACAUAUCACAUAUGAAAACCGAAAACUAAUAAAUCAAACAGUUGCCGGCGGAUCAUUCUCAUGUUACUAUGUAAAAAUUUAAUCUAAACAAAACUCUUUAUGUUUAGAGAUCUUAUCGUGGAUGAGUUAAGGUCUAUUAAUCUACUGUACGAUAGAAACUGAAUAUGACGAGCAGAGGUUCCGAUUAGCCGCGCACAUGCCCGGCCUCUACGCAUAUUCACACGGAAUCGGCGACCCGAUCAAGCUUCGUCUCACGAACCAGAUGAGUCACGGACCAUCUGGACGGUGCUAGCAAUCCCUCAUGAUCCACCAGUCGAUGAAAAGUAGAGAAGUUGAUCGGAGAGAAAAUACGUGCGCGCGAGAGAAAUCAGAGAGAGAUUGAUUUCGAUAUGUAUAUGCAUCUAAAUUCAUUAUGCAUCUCUUUAAUUAAGAUGCAUGGCACCUUAAUUAAAAUUCCUCCAUAGGUACGGCAUCAUAUGCCGUACGGCUCUUCUUUUAUUUAUUUAUUUAUUUAUUUUUUUAACUAACUUAUUGUAUACGCAUACAUCACUACAACAAAAAUGGUCUAUAGCGACACUUUUAAAUGUAGGUACAUGUCAAAAAAAUGCUGCUAGCUAAAAUUACCGACACUUUUGAAAAGUGUUGCUAUAUGUGGGGUCGCUAGGUAUAUAGUGACAGUUAAAGAGUGUCGCUAUAACCUAAAAGAGUGCUGCUAAUUUAUCAACACUUAUUUAAGCAUUUAGCAAUCGCCGAAAUUCUAUCUCGUUGGCUGCGGUGGCGGAGGAGGACGACAGGAAAGGCUCUUCGCCUAGAAUUUCAGUGAAUUGAGUGAAGAGAGAAGAAAAAAUGGUAAUUGAUUUUUCUUUUUUUAUUCUUUUCUGUUUGUAAUCGGGCCAAAUGGACUGGGUGUGGUGGGUUGAGUAGAGUAAUCUUUUAUUUUUGGUUGGAUUGGGCUUUAUAUUUAGGCAUUAGUAGAUGUUUUUUUAAGUUUUAGCAUAAAUGGGACACUUACUCAAAAGUGUCCCAAACAUGUGUCCCUAUAACCUAAUUCUGUUGUAGUGCAUAUAUAUAAUAUAAAUCUAUAUAUGUAUAUAUAGAAUCUUAUUUCAUAAAAUCUUAUCUAAUAAGAUUUUUCUCUCUCUCCAAUAAAAUUUAAUAAUUAAAUAUUCAUACUUAUCCAACUAAAUCAAAUCUAGUAAAAAUCUUAUCUUGUAAGAUAUUAUGAAUAUUUAAUUAUUCUCUAAUCCAAUUAGAGAUAAAUAUUAAUCUCUCCAAUAUUUAAUUAGAUCUUAUCUAAUUUUGAUCUUAUCCAAUAAGAUUACUUACUAAUAUUUAAAUCUCAUUUAAAUAUCUUUUAUGAUUAAAUAUUAUCCACUAAUCUAAUUAGAGAUAAAUUUAAAUCUUGCACAUAAUUCUCAAACUGAUUCUGAGAUCCUAAUCUAAUUAGGACUAUCAGUUAUAACCGAAUAGAAUAAUUAAAUUUAAUUUAAUUAAGCAGCUUCCUUUUAUUUUCAUCGCUAGCUUACACUAAACUCUUUAGUGAACGACUCUCAUCCAAACGAUUCGGGUGCACACAAUUCCUAAUGUGUGCGACCGCAUAGGUUCAUUACCAUUCGGUAGUGGAGCUCAACAUCAAACUCUUUGAUAUUUAAUUAGAACUCUUCUAAUCAAUAAAUAAGAACAAUUCAAUUCGAAUCAUUCAUAUUCUGUCACCUUGCGUGAGUGACACUUAGCAGUAUAUCACGGCAAUCCAAAAUGGUGAUGAAAAAUUAACAUUUUUGUUUACAGUUACUAUGUGAUUAAUUCCUUCCAACAUACAAUGUCGCAAUCGAACUAAGGUUAUGGUUACUCGCCAAACCUUAUCAUUCGACCAUAUAACUAGAAUAUCUGAAAUCAACUCAAUAUGGUAACACAGUUAGAAACUCUUUCCACAUACCAUGUACCCUGGCCAGGGGUUUUCCAAGUCGAGUCCGAUAGACUACAUAGGACAUUCUCCCUCGUCAUUGAGAGUGUUAGAUCCCUUAUUGCGCAUUCACAUGCCUUCUCGUAUAAAUCACUAUGGCAAAUCAGUACCGAAUAUAGACCCGUGUCUAGAGUCUAAAUAUUAGUACUGUCAAACGGUAGCAACCUAUACGUGAAGCAACUAUGAUGCCUCAGGUUUGAGGAGUACUUCACACAACUGUAGCAAUGAAUUUGUCUCUGGCGAGCAUAGAAUCAUGUGACUGUUCAACUAAAUAGUCACGCUCAGUGUACUUAUUCUCUAACAAGCACCUGUAUGCUUGUUCUAGUGUCUCUACACUAGUAACUUGAGAUUCGUCACCUCAAUUAGAAACAUAGCAUACACCGGCCUAUCCAGAAUAUCACCGUCCCUGUAAUAUACUUCUGGCUAGGAGCAUUUAAAAAGUCUUGUAUAGAAAAGUACAUAUCUCAAAUUCCUAACUCUUAGGAAUAUGUCUUUUCAAACAAAGACCCUAUGGACAAUUCAUGUCAAUAUUGUACUGCUAUAAAAUAGAUAUGAAUAGAUUAUCUGCCUUUAUAUUAUAAAUUAUAAAUAAUUAAUAUAUAAAUACCGUUAAGCCAGUGUCACCAAAUUCGCUUUUGGGCAUAUAACUAACAGAGUUGAGGGUGCUUCUUCCUCAUCUGCUCUUCAAGUUCCCAAGUAGCUUCUCGUUCAGAAUGGUUGCUCCACUGGACUUUAACAUAUGAAAUGGUCUAUCUCCUCAAAACUUGCUCCUUUCGGUUCACAAUACGUACCGGCUGUUCGUCAUAAGAUAGAUCCUCUCUAUGCUGCAAAGUUUCCGGCUCCACAUCGUGGCUCGAAUUGUGGACAUAUUUUCUCAAUAUAGAUACAUGAAAGAUGUUAUGCACUCCAGCUAAAGAAGGCGGUAAGGCGAGUCUGUAUGCUACGUCACCAAUUCUUUCAAGUAGCUCAAAAUGGCCCACAUAACAAGGGCUAAGCGUCCCACGGAUUCCAAAGCACAUAACACCUCUUGAAGGUGACACUUUCAAGAAGACAUGGUCUCCCACUUCAAACUCGAGCGGUCGUCUUCGAUUAUCAACGUAGCUCUUCUGCCGACUCUGAGCUGCUCUGAGAUGUUCCUUAAUCAAUUUGCAAUGACCCGACUAUACAAUUUAGUUGGUACCUAAUAAAGUUUUGUAUCGCCUACAUAGUAUGAAUAUAUCACUAUACCAAGUGGGGGAAUAUUGGAAUGUCGCCCAUUUGAUUUAUUUAAGGAUAUCUAUAAAGAUACAGUCGGUCUAUUCAAUUCGAUCUAUAAAGAUACGGUAGAUCUAACGGCUAGGAUGUAUUUGGACACGUCCUUGAUGGACAGACGUGAUUUAACAUCCUUAUAUCAAGUUAUAUAUAAAUAUGUAACAUACGGGAGUCCCGGUCUAGCCCUAAUCCUAAUUUCCAUGACGGCUCCAUCUCCGGGAAAGAAGGAAUUGGACUCGAAAUGUCCUACUCUUUUGCAGAUCGUGAACAAGAACGAAUUACAAGCAAGAAUCACUGUCUACAAUCUGGGUAUAGAAAUCGAAAUCAUGGCAGAAGGUACGAUCUUAAUUUUUUAUAAAGUUUAACAACAGGAUCAAGGGACAAAUAAAGAGAGUAAAAUGUGAAAGUAUGAAAGUAAUGAGGAAAACACAUGAAUGUGCUAAGGAGCAAGUGAAUAGUAGUGAAAAGACAAUGUGAAUUAUGAUAUUGGUAAUCAUUGCAUGUGACUAUAACCUGUAAGAGCCAAAUUGAGCUCAACAACAUAGGUGGUACAUUUACUUAAUUGUGUGAGGUUAAUUACAACCAUAGCUGAUGGCCCUUCGCACUACAACAAAAACGGUUUAUAGCGAUACUUUUAAAUGUAGGUACAUGUUAAAAAAGUGUUGCUAGCUAAAAUUACCGACACUUUUAAAAAGUGUUGCUAUAUGUGGGGUCGCUAGGUAUAUAGUGACAAUUAAAGAGUGUCGCUAUAACCUAAAAAAGUGUUGCUAAUUUACCAACAUUUAUUUAAGUAUUUAGCAAACGCCGAAACUCUAUCUUGUUGGCUGCGGUGGCGGAGGAGGAUGACAGAAAAGGCUCUUCGUCUAAAAUUCCGGUGGAUUGAGUGAAGAGAGAAGAAAAGAUGGUAAUUGAUUUUUCUUUUUUUUUUCUUUUCUGUUUGUAAUCGGGUCAAAUGGACUGUGUGUGGUGGGUUGAGUAGAGUAAUCUUUUAUUUUUGUUGGAUUGGGCUUUAUAUUUAGGCAUUAGUAGAUAUUUUUUUUAAGUUUUAGCAUAAAUGGGACACUUACUGAAAAGUGUCCCAAACAUGUGUCCCUAUAACCUAAUUUUGUUGUAGUGUCGGAGGUGGUAGUCUUAUGUGACAGUUUAUGGUUCCUGUUGAGUGCCAAGAUGGUGGUGAUCUUUGAACCUAGGAGUGCGGGAUGUCAUCCAUGAGAGCAGGGAUAAAUUUGACUGGAUCAUGAGUCGGUCAUUGUGACUGGGUUAUCAUUUCUUAUUAGUUACUGUAUCUGAUGCAUGAUGAGACACGUUUUAUAGUUCUCACUGCUUCUUUAUAGAGAGGUGAUAGUAGAUAUCUAUUUAUAGUUUAGUAUAUUAUGUGAUUAGUUAUUCAAUUCAGUUUAUACCUAGACGUAGUGGUUUAGGUCGUCAUUAUUGUCGAUUAGCCCAUUGGCAAUAUUUUUCAAUAGUUCGCACGUUAUAUUAUUUUUUAUUUUAUUUGAGAGCCUCAGCGCCAGCUAGUGACCGAGGAAAGGGAUGGCAGGUUAAGUAGCAUCUCCUAUCCUGGGCGAUAUGCUAGUAGAGGACCAUUCCCUAUAAUAGUAUAGCUAGCUGUACAUAUUAGGCCCAGGGGAGUAGGUUGUGUUAUAUAUUAUUUUGGUUGUGCAGUAGAGACUUGUAUAGUUAUAGCUAUAGUUAUUUAGUUAUAUAUAGACUCAUAAUACAUGUUUUUUUCUUGAAUAUGCUCGAUGUAUAUAAUUUGGAUAUGUUAAUUAGACCAAGCUUCGUAUGUGCGGGUUUCGUUAUCGUGCACAUGGCAGGUCUAUUAGUGUACCCAAAGGCUUCCGUUGUAACUCGGAGUGUGAGAGAUUAAGUUAGUAUCAAAGUCUAAUAAUGUAUUAACUGGAGUUAAUAAAUCCUAGGCUUUUGGCAAAUCUUAAGGAUAGAUCGAAGGUAGUGAGUGACGUGACUUACAGUGCAAGUCGGUAAAUUGAGUUAUGUGCAAUCUUUAAAAGUGCAUUAAAGAGUAACCAAAGGUGUCGUAUCUUUUUCUUUUGGAUAAUUAUAUUAGCUCCAGACAGUAUAAUGUCAUAGGUGGGAAAGGAGAUGCCUUUUUGGACUUUCGCUUGAUUAGAUUAAGUUGUGUGUUAUUGUAUAAUUAAUUUUGUUUUGUUCCAGGUAACCGACAUGGCACAGCGUGUGCGGCUUUUUUUCUUAGUUUUUUCUUUUUUUAGAUGUUUGUUUUUAUUUUUUGGCCAAACGUAGAGCUCUACUUGAGCAGCUCAACUGCUAUAUCCAAUUAGCCUAUUAUUUUUAUUCCUAAGUACUACUUUCAAACAUAUUUUAGAUCACAAAUUGUUGAAACAAUGGCCAAUUUAACAACCAAGAAUCAAAGAAUUUUCUGAAGAAUAUUGACAGUAAUUACGUGCAUACUUGUUUUGAAAAUAUAAAGGUUGAGAAAGUCAUUAGAGGCCAUUAAGAAUCUUGAGGAGACUCAUCCAAAUAGGCCCCACUUCUUGUCAUUCCACAAGCAAGACAUGUUCGAUGGUGUAGUUAUACUUUUCUACUCCUUCCAUUCCACAAGGUUAUUUUUGCAAGGAGACCCUUGUCACAUAGUCAAUGGAAGUCAUGUUUUUCCAAAUCAUGCAACUUGCUAGACGAGAACGAUGCGUGUCCGCAGCACAUCCAGAAAUUUAAAAUAAAAAAAUAAAAAUAAAGAAAACAACAAUAAUAACCGGAAAAAAAAAAGCAUAGGAACUACGAACUAGAGUUUGAAGCUUAUUAAAUAAUGGAGACUUAAUUACGCUCUACUAUACUAUAUAUGUUUUUGUAUUAUUUUUAUUUGCACUAUUACACAACUCUCUUUUGAGUAGGUCUUGUGUGCUAUUAGAAGUACGGAGGCCUCCGUGCUUCUAAGCCGUUUUCAAUAAUGGAGCUUUCGAUCGAUGAUCGGCUCCAUUAGACUUAAUAUAGUAUAUUUGAAGUAUUUAGAAAAUAAAUUUUGUGAUUUUUCGAUAUCAUUUACCUAGCAAUCGAAGAGAUUCAAAAUCAACAGCUGAAAAUAAAAAUCUUUUAAAAAGUGGUGAUAUGGCAUUAAAAUUUUCGAUCAGAAAUAUUGAUCUUACUGCAAAUAACUAUAGUACGUAUAAAGAAUUUUCUAUUAAAAUUUCAUUUGAUUUGAAUAAUUCUACACCGUUAAACUUGCAAACAAUAUAUAUCAACUAUUAAAAAUUGUUGAUUUUGAACCCCUUCGAUCGUUAGGUAAAUGAUAUCAAAAAAUCGUAAAAUUUAUUUUCUAGAUUCUUCAAGUACGCUAGAUCAAGCCUAAUAGAACCGAUCGUCGAUUCGAAGGUUCCAUCAUCAAAACGGCUUAGGAGCAUAAAGACCUUCGUGCUCCUAAUAGCACACAAGACCUACUCCUCUUUUUUGCUAAGAUACUAUUAUAUUAUUAAAUAUAUACUUUGCUACUUUUAACUAGUGUAUUUAACAGUUUUCACAUAAAAUUAUUGAUUUAUUUCACUAUUUAUGUGUUUUUCCUAUUUUUGAUUGCGUUUUGUCAUUUUUGUUUGUGUGUUCGUUGUAGCAUUGAUUCCAAGGAAAAAUCGGUAUUUUCAUUUUCUAAAAAAAUCCGGAAAAUAGAUAUGCUAGUUUUCCGUAAAAUAGAAAGAGUUUUUUAAAAAAUGCUUAUUUUUCUUCAAAACAAACAAGCGAAAAAUUGAAAAAGAAGUUUUGCAUGAAACUUUUUCUUAAAAAUUUAUUUUCAUACUUUUUCGAGGAACCAAUCAGCCGUUUAUAAUGUAAGGAUUGUGUUGGGAGCCGAAUUUCCCGACCCUAGACCCGGUCAAAGAUCCUCCUCGGGAAGCGCAUCGGGGUGAGGAACGGCUGCGGAUAGUGAUCCUCGAAGUUUGCCCCCUUCGACAGAUCAAGCGAUUCGGCUGAUGAGGGAUCGGAUAAGCCGAGUUCGAAAAACUUUACCAUAGAAUCGGUUCGGCUGGAUGAGCCGAAUGUAUUGACUGAGCAAAGAUUGAGGUCGGCCGAUGAGCCGAACGACUAAAGAAAACUGAAACUGAUCGACUCGAGGAGACGAAUGCCUAAAUAACACAGAAACUAGCCGGCUUGAGGAGCCGAAUGCCUCUAUAUUGAUUGACUGGAGAGAGAAAUACAAAGGCGGAUAUGAAGUUUACAACGGAGUGAUGCCCGUGGGGCAGACAGACUUCAAAGAUCUAACUUAAAAACUACUCAUAGGAAAAAAGCAGCAAAAUUAUAAGUAGACUACUACUAGGAAGUGUAGGAAAUUGCGUGGAAGAUAAAAGCGGUCUUUUGUACACAAGGGCAAAGGCCUCUUUCUUUUAGGGCGUUAUUAGCCUAUUUAUAUGUUGCCCUUUGAUCAAUUACUCUUUUUCCACGAUCGGCCAUGACUUCCUAAUUCUUCGGACCACUUCCAGCCGAUCGGAACCGCUUACAACCGUUUGCGGUUACUGUAACCCCCUCGAUCUAGCGCGGUUCAUGCUUCCCUUAAUGCUCCCGGGGCAUAUCGAAACUGUGGCUCUUGCGUAGACUUGACAUGCCAGCUGUCCACGCCGAAUUGGCCCAACAAUUGCCCCCUCGGUAGCUUUUGAAGCGACGCUUCGGUAGCUGGCGUCUUCCAAGGCAUGAUUACUUUUCAAAUUCCUAGUGUUGGUCUGUCUCAACUGUUCGUCUCCUCUUAUGCCGAAAUUCUGCCAUCGCUUCAAGAUAAAGCGUGAUCUGAGGCGUAUUUCUCGGUCCAAUUAAUUUCAAACCUUCUGUUCUAGUAGCUGACGUGAUCCGACGAGCAUUUUUCCACCCAGAGUACGAUUGGGUUUCGGCCGUUCAUUUUUCUUCACGGCCCUGAUUUCACCCUCGAUUUUUGUCUUACAUGCGGCAUUAAUUAGGUCAUUUUAAUUACUGCCGUCUAUUCAUCAUUAUAGCCGACCUCGGAAUUCGUUUCGACACGACGGCCAUCUUUCCUUCUUCUUCAACUGUUAUCUUUCGUCUUCAUUGCUUUCUUUUACUUCUUUUUCGUUUCUUACAACACUUCGUCUCUUCCAUCGAAACUCCUUUCUCAUUUUUCUUUCUUUUGAGUAAUGGCACUGGUUCCGCCUCUUCCUUCUCAUCCGUCCCUUGAUUAUACUAUACUUAAACCCUUUGUCGACUCAAACCCAUCUCGAGUUAUUUUGGGUCCUUCUCUUACAGACAUGCUAUCCCUUAUUGACUCACCCUUUUCUGGCGACGGUCUUCCCCUGAGAAAAGCUAUUCACCUUCAGUCUUGGUACUCUUCAGCUUCAACAGGGAAGAGUCUUCGAACCUGGCCAAGUAUCUCAGAGGCAUACUUAACCUGGUUAGAUAGAGUAGAAGCCGCCUUUGGUGACUUUUGGCGAGAGGUUGGGAUAUAUGAAGCCAUUCAAUUAUCUCGGCAUCCUCCUAUUGCAGAAAAUCUUCUUCUAGCCGCUGCUCUGUGUUUUUGUCCCCUGCCUCUAAUAUUUUUCUUUUCAAAAGAGGAUCUCUUACCCCCACUCUUUUUGAUGUUGCCGCCAUUGCCGGCUUGCGCCCUCAUGGCGUUACUAUUUCUAUGUCUUAUAAUCCUGACGGCGUAUCUGAUUUUGAGGAUCGUUUAGACCUCAAUGACUUGGCUUACUCCAAGUUUAUCCGCAAAUUCGCAGGUGAAUCCCCUGCUCCUGUCACUAGAAAAGAACAUACAGCAUUCCUCCUUUAUUGGUUAUGUUAUAAUUUCUUCUGUACUCGUUCAUAGAAGAUCAAUCGUGAUUUUGUUCUAAUCGCCGUUGGUUUGUCUAACAGCGAUAGAUUAGCUCUAGGGCCUUAUUUUCUUGCCUUUGUUUAUAGAGAAAUUUUUGAUUCUAUCAAAAUACUGCCUUCUGGAGAUGGUAUUUCCAUCCAUUCUGGCUGUGGUAUUUUCUGGUUUCUCCAAAUAUUUUUGCAAUUCUAUAUUCCGGCUUUAUGUCAAUUUCCUUUUAAUCCGACUUCUGCUGCCCAAUUUGAUUCUUAUGGGUUAGCUCUCGGCUGUCCGCAGCCGAUGACUCCGGGUCAACUUUUUGACUUUCUUACUUAUUUUAAAACUUUUUAUGAGCCGAGUCCUGAAUCGGCUAUUUCCUGGGCUCCCUUUGCUGACCGUCUUACCGGUCCCUCCUGGUUCCUUGCCCGGUUUGAAGCUAUCCAAGGUGAAUUGGCCUCUUCUCACGCGAGUGAGUACUAGAAGUAUGGUACUCUUAUUUGGCUCCGAGAGAUCUUCAUGUGGGGUUAAAAUCGCGCUCAAAACUAUUACCAAGCACUAAAGUUUAUUCUCCUCAGUAUGUGGCCCGCCUGUUUGGAUUUGUUCAGGCGAUUCUUGCUCCAUCUAAAUUAUUUACAACUAAUACAAACGAUCAUCGACCGCCUACUAAAGGUAUAGCCGAAGCUGAUAAGAUUUCGGCUAUGGGAAAUCGCCUUCGUCGAUUCUUUAAAUUAGUAAGCUUCGGACCGAACUACACAGGAGUAGCUCUUGCCGGCUAUGCUACCAUUUGGGAUCAUUUUACUGAUCGUAUUCUCCACCUUUCUCUUCUUUGCGCAUUCCGUAGAACUAUUCAUCCGCUUGUUUUAGUUGAUACUCCUGCCUCAUCAUCAAGAGAAGAAAUAGAAGAAGUUUCUGAUCACAUCUCUGAUGCCCAGCCUUCUUCUUCUGUAAUGUACUUACCCUUAUUUUAACUUUUCUUUUUAACAUUCCCAAUACUUACUUUCCUUCUGUUUCCUUUUUUUUCUACAGUCAAUUCCAGUUUCUCCAUUGGUCUCAGCUUCAGAAAAAGACUGAUUGAGACCGCUCAAUCUACUCCUCCGCCGCCUCCAAAGCGGCGUAAAUCAGUUGCUAAAAGGCCCCAUUCCAAGCAAGCCGAAAGUAUUUCUGCGGCUAAUGUAUCAAAGAAAAAAACUGAGGAAACACCACCAGCUCCUGUUCCCGAAAAAAGAGCCAAAGAAAUGCCUUCGGCUGAUGCCUCAAGACAAGAAUCUGUUCCUAAUGAGCCUAUUGAGAUUGAGGUAUAUCGAUUCGAUUGGCCACUUUAACUUGUAUUAUUUUCUCAUCUUGUUUACCAUUCUUUUAAUAAAACAGUCUUCUCCUGAGAACAAUUCAAGAGCCCGUUUUGCUUCUUCUUUGAAGACGCAGAUUAGUAGACAAGUUCGUCGAGAUGUUCGCCUUGAGAAAAAGCAAGAGGAGGAGAGAAAAAGGACUACCCGAGAAAUGGGCUCAAAGCUACCAGCAAGUACUACCAAUCCAUCUUCGGCAACAAUUGAGGAAGAAGAUGUGACUGUACCUCUAGAAAAAGAUAUUGGAGAACCAGGGCGUCGUUCGACUCCUGAAGCUUCAUCACCUAGAGCUUCAUCUCUUACUCCUGAUGAUGCUCUGUCUACUGCCCUUCAUGCAUUGUUAACUUCGAGCCCAAAUUCUAAUGAAGGAGAUGAUUCGAACACUAUUGUGAUGUCGUCAGACACUCAACAACAAUUUGAUGAGUGCCUUCGAUUAUAUAGUCAAGGUCUCCUAUAUUUGGCUUGGAAUCCAGAGCAAUUUGAUCGGCUAUGUGCUCUUUUACUUGACUUGGCCGAUCGGUCAGACAUUUCUUCUGCCAAUAAAUAUUUUGUAGAGAUUCUAUCAUCUCAACUUUCUUCUUUUUUGGCUCGGCAACAAUCUUUGGGUGCCGAGCUUUUGUCCUUGGAUCAACAUUUUCACCGUGUUGACUAUUUCAAGAAUUCUAUACCUGAGGUAGCAGCUCCUAUUACUAACAUGAGCCGUGAGGAUCGUGUCUUAGCAGAUCAAGAAUCGUCUCUGCAUUAGCGCAUUUUAACUCUUGAAGAAGAAUUGGCUGCAGUUAAAUUGACUGUAGCUCAUAUUUCUGAGCGUCGACUUCAAUUACAAGAUCACUUGAAGUCCAGAAAAGAAGAAGGUAUAAGACUGAAGGAAGAACUUUCUCGGCUUUACAAAGUGCAUCCCUUGAUGAAACGCUGAAGAAAAGCUGCUGAAACUGCUCAAGCCAAUUUUACAGCCGAAUGAAACCAACUCAGAGAUUUAUCAUCUUGAUUAGGCUUGGAAUAUUCUAACUUUAACUUUGGUUAUUC